ACUUUAACUUAAUAUAAACUAGUGAAGGACCCGCGCUUGCGGCGGAAUGAUUUCGUAGAAAUAAAUAUAUAAAUAAAAUUAAUAAUAGUAAAAAAAAAGAGUCAAAAAAUUAAAUAAAAAAAUAACUAAAAAAUAAACAACUAUUGCUCUAAUAAAAAUAUAAAAAUAAAUUAUAAGAAAGAUUAAAAAAAAUAAAGGCAAAAAUCAUACUAAUAAGAAAUUAUAUAUAAUUAUAUUUAUAAUUAUAUAUAUUAUAAUUAUUAUUAUAAUUAUAUAUAAUUUUUAGAAAAAAUAAUUUAUUGUUCUUAUAUUUUUGCCUCUAUUCUUCUUUUAUCUAUCUUAUCCUUUAAUUUUUAUUUUUUUUUAACUUUUUUAAUGUUUCAUUUUUAAAUUUUCUUUCUUCUUUUUUAUAUAUUUUUAAUAAUUUUUUUANUGCGCCAGCCUGCCCGCGCCCCACCACGCGUGCCCGCCUCUCCCUCUCCUCUUCCCGCGCCACGCGGCGCCCCGCCCCGCGCGCCUGCUCGCCGGUAGCACGCUGCGCCCCGCCCCGCGCGCCCGCCUGCCCGCGCCCCGCGUGCCCGCGCCACGCGGCGCCCCGCCACACGCGCUUGCCUACCCGCGCCCCAUGCUCGUGCUCGCCGCCGCCCGAGCCUCCGCUCGCCGCCACCUGUCCCAAAACUAAAGAUUCAUAUAUACUAUAGAUAAUAAAGUUUAGUUUCGAGUUCUCCUUUCUUGGAGCAUUGGCGGGGCCCACCCAGUUUCUCCACUCCCCUCUCUCUCCCAUUACUUUUUCCUUUCUAUUUUUUGUCUGCAUCACGUCUAAAAAUUCUUCCAUGAACAAAAAGAAUAAUUUUUUAAUAAUUUAUAUGAUAAACUAAAAUCUAAUCUAAUAACUGCAAUCUAUAAUAUAUAAAAUAUCUAAAUACAAAAUUACUGAAUUUUUACUUUAAUAAUAAAAUUUCAUAAAUACAAUGUAAAAAAAUAGUUAUAUAUCUGAUUGAUUUAUUUUUUAUAAAUAGACAGUUGUUGUGAAUCUUUUAUUUUUUGUAGUACGCUAAUUUGUGUUCUUUUAUUAUUUUAAUUAGGUAAUACUUUAUAGGUCCUAAUUAAAUCAUUAUCCUCAUCCAAUUUUUUAAUUUAUUAAAAUUUAAUAAAAUUAUUAAUUUUUAGAUAUUUAGAUGUCAAAUAUAUAUUCAUAUAAAAAGUAUACAAGUGGUAAUUUUCUUUCAGAGGAAACAAGUGGUUCAUCCGUCCCAAUCCAUGACGUUCAUAAUGUUACCAACAGGGUGGAAAAAAUCAAACUACUUUAUGGUAAUAUGUAAUAUUUGGCUUUAUUUUUUUAGAAAUAAAUUUAGCUGAAAAUAUGAUUCGAAAUUUAGACUUCGGGUAUUAAUUAACCACCAAAUCCUUUACAACUUGCAGUAGGAACGGUAAGUAAUAUUAGAAUAAAAAAUGGGCUAGUAUUUGAUUUAGUAAUUUAAAUUUAACAUCUUUUAGAUUCUUAUACUUAAAGUAAAAUUAAAAUAUUAUUAAUAGCAAAAGAAAAGUAUUUGCUACCUAUAUCAUAGUUUUUUAAUGCAUAGAGUUAAUUAUUUGGCGUGAUAUGUGCUAUUAUAAAUUGAAUGACUACAAAGUUAACAUUAAAUACUUUUAUUUACUAUCAAUAGUAUUAUAGAUGUACUCUUUUAUGCAUAUAAUUAACAAAAAGAAAAAUUAAUUACACCAUUUGGCCCAAACAUUUGUUCUUAUUUUGAUUUUAGACUUAAGAUUUUCUCAGUUAAAUUCUUAAACUAUAUUAUUUGUUUUGAUUAAGUCCCACUCAUCAAAAAGUUUAAUAAUUUUGAUAAAAUUUGUAGUAAAUAUAAUUUUAAAAUAAUAUGCAAUUCGCAUCAAAUUUUAGUACAAGAUUUUUAUUGAAGGACCCAAGAAACGCUUGGUUACAAAAUAUUUUACAAAGUCGAGAGUCACAAUAGAAAUCUCACGAUAGAGAACAAUAGAAAGACACAACACCGUAGAUUAUUAAUGCUGGUUUAUUAGUAAUAUGUUAUAAGACGUGUUUCAAUCACUCGCUACGUGCUGGCUUGCUCCCUCCUUCCACUUAUUGGCAACUCCCUGCAGCACCUUGUACGAGGACCCGCCCGGCGGCGCGAGUGCCCGCGACGCCGCCUCCUGCAGCUCCUUGGCGCGACGGCGCAGCGCCUUGCCCUUCUCCCCCUGCAUCAAUUCCUUCGCCGCCGCCGCGAUCUCCUCCCUGCCGACGAUGCCGUAGGGCUCUCUGGCCCGCGGCCUGAUGGUGAUUCCGACCGCCUCGGCGAGCAGCACGGCAUUCAAGCGCUGCUCAGCGUAGAGCGGGUGCGCGAUCAUCGGCACGCCAUGCACAGUGCUCUCCAGCGUCGAGUUCCACCCGCAGUGCGAGAAGAAGCCGCCGGUCGCGGCGUGGGCCAGCACACUGACCUGCGGCGCCCACGACAGCACCACAAAGCCCACGUCCUUUGUCCGUUCCAAGAAGCCCUCGGGAAGGUACUUCGACGGAUCGUCCUUGUUUCCUAACAUCAUUUAUAAAUAAAUUCAUUACACUAGUCUUGACCUACUCGAUCACAUGUAGUCUUUAUUAUUAAAUUUUUUAAUAUUCAUUUCUAAUAGUUAAAAAAUUAUUAUGACAAUAAAAUUUUUUAAUUUUAAACAGCAAAAAUCGAUAUAUCAAGUCUAACUAACAAUUGAGUUCUGCAACCAACUUUGGUCCACCACAGAAAUAACUUACAUGCUAAUUAAAUUGGAGUACGACAAAUUGUAAAAACUCUAUACUAAUAAAUCAAAACUGUAUAUAUUAUAAUGCCAGCACAUCAUCAAAUUUUAUAGCAAUAGUUUAGUACCUGUUGUGAUGAAAGCGGUGUUCUUUUCUUUGUCAUUGGGACACCUGACAACCCAAAGGAAGCGCUGCCCGCUGGCCUCCAGCCCAAGUGCCAUCUCCUGCAUCUGCUCCGUCGAGAGGGAGCCGCCACUUCCGAAAGACACGAAUAAAACCGAGUCGGCUGGCUGCCGGUCCAGCCACUCCAGGCAGCCCGACUCGUCCGUCUCGUCCGAACCGGACCGGACCAUCGGACCCACCAGGUGGACCGGCGGCCUCCCUGCUUCCACUUGCUCCUCCUCUCUGAUGGCUUUCAGCACCUCUGGCUCCAUCUCCUCAAAGCUGUUCACCAGAAUUCCGGCUGCGUCGCUGUACCUGCAAAACCACUCAUUACUUCGAUAAUUCAAUUGUAUUCGAACUCAGAAUCCAUUAUUUUAUUUAAAAUUAUGAAUUAUUCUAGAAACUUACGUUACUAGAGAACGGUGUUUCUUACUUGCUCAUGAUCCGGAUGAACGGAGCGUACAUGGGGUGUGACUUCUUGCGGAAGGGGUCGGGAAAGUCCGUCCCGCGUAAGGUGACGCAGCCGGGCAGGCGGACGGGGUCGGGGAGGUCUUCGAAGUCGACGUCGAUGGUCUCGUCGAGCCGGGGCAGGUGCAGCCCGAGGGUGAGCCUCGUAAGGUUGGAAGUGAAAAAUAUGUAGCCCGGCACGCCGAGCUCCCUCACCAGCGACAGCGUCUCGGAUCCGAAAAGGUCACAGACGAAGGCGGCGGCGGGGUUUUGGAAGGAGAGGAAGGCGUCGCGAAGGAGGGGGAGGCAUCGGGCGAGGAGGACGCAGAGAUGGACUCCGAUCGGGGAGUCGGGGGGGAGGUCGGAGAGGGAGAUGUAGGGGAGGGAGACGGAGGAGACGGAGUCGGAGGGGAGGGAGGAAAGCAAGGCGGCCUGCGCGGGGGAGUCGAAGUUGGAGAAGGUGAGGAGGGUGGCGGAGAAGCCGUGGUAGGCGGCAAGCCGGACGGCGAAGUCCGCAAGUGGGAUCACGUGGCCCAUUCCCGGCGACGGGAGCAGGACCACGUGAGGCCGCUGGCUCUCAUUCCCCUCGACAGCCAUACGAUUAAUGUGGUAAUAUUUGUGUGACUGUCGUACAGUGCAGAACAGAGAUACGUUUGGAGCUCUCUGCUGUCAGACUAUAUAAGUUUGAGUUGUGUUGUGUUUGUAUUGUGGGCUGAAGAUGUUGCAGGAACCUUCUCAAUUUAAUAAUACAUAAAUAGAAUAAUAAAUUUUAUUUUUUUGACUAUUUAUUGCAUCUUAGAAAGCAAUAUGUUACAUAAGUCAAAAAGUAACAGACAUGGUAGAUCAACUUGAUCAAAUUAUUAUUAUUAUGUACAAAAAUUAAAAGAUGCUAACCUAAUUUGUUAGGUAAGAUGAAUCUUAUAAUAAUAUAAAAUUAAGCUUACUUCCUAAAAUAAAAUGUAAUUUGUAUGUGCAUAAUUACUAACGAGCAGUGCGUACAUCUUUUUAAUAUGUUGGUACAUCAAAAUAUUUCUCAUUCUAUGAACUUCUUUUCAACCAGUAUUAUUAAAAUACUUUCCUGAACUUUUUUUUGUUUUGAGAAAGAGAUAGACAAGUUACCUGCUUCAUUCAUUGAGAGAUGUACUAAACGUACAGUAUAGAAACAGUUAAGAGUUCCGAGGCAAGCCGAACAGGAAAAAACAGAAAUCGGAAAAGACAAAAAACAAAUGAAGGUAAAAAGGAUAAAAAAGAUGUUGCAUGUAGGGUGAUUACAGAGUUUCAGCCCAGGACUUCGUUAGUAGAACAAUGCGCUCGAGAGCAUGUGUGGCGUUGGGGGUCUUCGAGCGAAAAAAUAAGAUUGUUCCUUUCCAUCCAGACAACACACCAAGUAGCCGUCAUGGAGGAUAGGGCCUUUAAUUUUUGCUUCGUUAGUAGAACAGUGCCCUCCUAAACUUUUAAUUUCAGUUGCUAAAUCAACCAAUUUUAUUAAUCCUCUUCCUCAAAUAAAAUUAUUAAUUAAAUAAUGAUGCUAAUUGAUAAAUUAGCCUCAAAUUGCUAUAAUUACUUUACUUUUGUACCUACGCUUUGGGAACAAAUAAUAUCUUUAUUUAUGUAUACAAUUGAUGUUUACCUUAUUUAUCUAUAGACACAUCAACAAUAUCAACAAAAUAUAUAUAUAUAUAUAUAUAUAUAGAGAGAGAGAGAGAGAGAGAGAGAGAGAGAGAGAGAGAGAGAGAGUUGGACUGGGCUAGCAAAAUUCUAUUGUUGCUACCAGUUUUUUAGCCUUUGGAUUAACUCUUUUCAUUAUUUCCAACUAUUAGAUUAAAUACUAUAACCCAGUGGGGACCACUCAACCCUAAGGAGACCGUUCAACUCUAAUCGACUAAUAUCAUCUCGAUCCUACAAUUUUUCAUCCAACCGUUAAAACUUGAUAGCAAAAAUAACGUUUUACUAUUAAUAGUAUUCCAGCCUAAUUAUAUAUAUAUAUAUAUAUAUAUUAGGCAUUCAAAAUAUUUUUCUAAAAAAAUAUUAGAAAAGAUGGAUUAAAUACCUUACAUCCGAUUUAGAUUUAUGACCUUCUAUCAUAAUAUGGUGGGCAUACAUGUUACUAAUUAAUUAGUAAUUACUCUGCCGAAUACAUUUUGAUCCUGUUCCAACUUUGUUUUGUAUCUUUCCUCAUUUUGUAGUUGAUUAAUUACCUUAUAUUCCAAUAAUUACUUUUCUCCUCCCAUUUUGCUCAUGUUUUAUGUUGGGGUCUAAAAAAGAUUCUACGUGUUAUAUUAAUAUAUAUUAUUGUUGGAAAUAAUAAUCCAAACUUAAUAAAAAUAUAGUUAUAGAUAAGUUUAAGUCUUUAUUUGAUUAUAAUUAAGAGUUGUAGUUAUCCAAAGUAAAAUUGGAUUUAUCAUCUGUUAUGAUUUGAUGGCUAUAUAUAGUUUUUUUUUUUUUUAAGAGAUAGGUAGCACGCUACCCUCGUUUAUUUCAUUUAGAAAUAACUUAGCUGGAAAUGUGAAUCAACUAGGAUUCGAACUUGGGUUUCGGGUACUAACCACCAAGCCCUUUGCCACUUGCUCUAGGGACGGUCGAUGAUGGCUAUAUAUAGUUACGCAUAGGUUAAUUAGAUGAAUAAGUCACAGUAGACAUGGCUGCAUAGGAUGUAAUUAAUUACUUUUUAUUAAUAAAGCAUUAGUUUAGUUAUCUUCUUCCUCCUUCAAUAUUUCUUCUCUAUAUUAUUUGUUCUAUUUCAGAUUUUGGAUUAUAUAAUCGGUAUCUGGACAAGUAUCGAUCCCAACAAUUGGUAUCAGAGUAAAUCAUGCCUCCAAUAAGUGGUAUCAGAGCCAAAAGGUACCAUGCGACUUACAAACCAGAUGACAGCAUAUUCGAAAAGAAUAUAGGUUCAAUGUACCGGAUAGCUACGUCAAAGAUAAGUGACUCAUAGUUGAUCGAAGAAGGUGACGUUCAGGAAAAACCAAAGUGAAGGAAUCGCUUUGAAAAAGUUGGCCUUUGCCCAAACGACAGCAGAUGAUUGUGACGUUUGACGAAAAGAGAGCGAGGAAAGCCCCUGAAGAGAUCUAAGAAGACUUGACCAGAUAGCCAGAAGGGCUAGACAAGCUAUCCGAAAUACAGAAAAUUCUGUGAGAUAUCAAUGAACUAAGAAUGUUAUCCAAACAGAAAGGUACAAAUCUAAACUUAUUUUUCAGAUUUUCAAGUUUCGUUAUAGAUUUAGAUAAUUGGUUUAUUCAACCGAAUCUACCAAAGUUCGAUGGAACAAACUUUAAACGAUAGAAAAUCAUCAUUCGAUAUUUUUUAGAAUCCCAAGAUUUAUGAAACGUAGUGGAGAAUAGAAAUUAUGAAAAAGAUUUUGGUAAAAAAGAAUUUUAAAAAAGAGAUCGAGAAGUUCUAUUAUAUAUUUUUCAAACUGUUAAUCUAUCGUUGGUUGAAAAAAUUCCAACGAUAAAGACGGCAUUGCAGGAAGAGAAUGAAAUUUAAGAAGAAGAAAAAAUUCAACUCAAUGGUGAAGUUAUAGGAACCCAAUUUGCAAAGAAAUUUUGAAAGAAAAGUUUGAUCCAAAUCAUAAAAAAGAUCAAAUCCGUAAAAAGUAUGUUGAUGAUCAAAACGGUACAACGUAGGCUGACGAGAAAAUUCACAAUGAUAAUAUAAUUGAAAAAAUUUCUGUCGAUAAAAUAAUUACACAUCAAAUCAAAGAAGUUGAUUCUUUUUAUAACGUGAAUGAAGAAAAAAAAAUAGCAACGCAAAUAUAAAAUUAAAAGUACAGAUUUUUGGUACGAUGCAAGACGCAAACAUUGAAACCAGAGAACCAAAAAUAUCAAAUUCAUAUAUUUGCAGGAACUCGCAAAUCUUUAAGGAUGAUGUGAAUAAUCAGUAUUACAGCUAGCAAAAAUUUCGUGCAUGGCAACAUCAUAGGACAGGCGUCAUGCUGCACAACUUGAACACGACGAUAACAACAGCGACAGAGAUUGCAAAAUCAAAAUGCGCGUUUCACGGAGUUCGUGAUUCGAAGAUGAAGUUUGGAUUAAGGAAAGAUGUUGGAAAUAAUAAUCCAAACUUAAUUAAAAUAUAGUUAUAGAUAAGUUUAAGUCUUUUAUUUGAUUAUGAUUAAGAUUUGUUGUUAUCCAUAGUAAAAUUGGAUUUAUCAUCUGUUAUGAUUUGAUGGCUAUAUAUAAUUACGUAUGGUUAAUUAGAUGAAUAAGUCACAGUAGACAUAACUGCAUAGGAUGUAAUUAAUUGGUUUUUAUUAAUAAAGUAUUAUUUUAUUUUAUUCCUCCUUCAAUAUCUCUUCUCUGUAUUAUUUGUUCUAUUUUAGAUUUGGGCCUAUAUAGUCGGUAUCAAAACAAGUACCGAUCCCAACAAUUGGUAUCCGAGCAAAUCACGCCUCCAACAAUUAUAGUAUAGUAUAAGGUAUUAAAUGAACUUGAUCCAAUCACUAAUUUUUAAAAAAAAAAUAUUCAAAGUUACUUAAAAAAAAAUUAUUUCUCCCAUCAAUUAUUAAUUAAUGUGUUAGGUGGAAGAUCUGCUAUAUUGCUGAUAAUUAGAAAUUAUUACUUAAGCAUCUGACUAGAAUCUACAAUUAUUUGUAAAUUUUGGUUAGUGCUGUAAAUUGGUUUUUGUAGUCUUGUUUACAAUACAAAAAAGGAAAAAAAAAAAAAUUAUUUAUUUUGAUACGAGGAAACUAAAAUAUAAUAUGCAUAAAAGUUUAGAUAAAACUUUGAUUUGUUUGAGGAAAAUAAUUAAUAAACGUAAUGGAGAGUUACGGUAUAAGUACUGUUCCCAAUUUGAUCUACUUCUAUUUCUGUAUUCAGCUAUAUUUAUUUUUGAUAAAUUUCUUAAUUUUUGUGCACGUAUAGAAAUAAAUGAAUAUUCUAAUUUUAUAUUUUGUUUUGAAUAAUUAGAAAAAAAAUUAAAAGGUUUUAAAAGAAUAUGUUAUCAAACAGUAAUGCAUGUUAUAACCAGAGAAACGCUAACGCUACACUCCAAAUGAGAUGGUAAUUUUAGCCCAAAUAUCUAUUUUUUUUAUUUUGAUUUCAAACUUUUAGAUUUCUUCAAUUGAACUUUUUAGAUAUAUUAUUUAUUUCGAUUAAGUCCCACAAUCAAAAGGUUUAAUAAUUUUCAUAAAAUUUGUAGCAAAUUAAUAUGAUUUAGAAAUGAUGCGGUAAUUUUCAUCUUUAAAUACAAAAAAUCUUACUAGAUUGAAAAAAAAAAGGAUAAAUUAUUAAUAUUUUUAAUUAUUAAUACUCAAUUAUUAAUAAUAUUUCAUAAGACGUGUUUCAAGUACUUGCUACGCGCCGGCUCGCCCCCUCCUUCCACUUAUUGGCAACUCCCUGCAGCGCCUUGUAUGAGGACCCCUCCGGCGGCGCGAGCGCCCGCGCUGCCGCCUCCUGCAGCUCCUUGGCGCGACGGUGCAGCGCCUUGCCCUUCUCCCCCUGCAUCAAUUCCUUCGCCGCCGCCGCGAUCUCCUCCCUGCCGACGACGCCGUAGGGCUCCCUCGCCUGCGGCUGGAUGGCGAUUCCGACCGCCUCGGCGAGCAGGAUGGCAUUCGUGUACUGCUCGGCGUAGAGCGGGUGCGCGAUCAUCGGCACGCCGUGCACGGCGCUCUCCAGCGUCGAGUUCCAGCCGCAGUGCGAGAAGAAGCCGCCGGUCGCGGCAUGGGCCAGCACCCUGACCUGCGGCGCCCACGACGGCACCACGCGGCCCACGUCCUUGGUCCGUUCCAAGAAGCCGUCCGGAAGGUAGUUCGAAGGGUCAUCCUUGCUUCCUGGCAUCAUUCCUAAAUUCAUUACAUUACAUCAUUAAUCUUUUCUUACUCCAUCAUACGUAGUCUUUAUUGUUAUUACUAUUAUUAUUAUUAUUUUAAAUAAUUAAAAUUUUUAGAAAAUAAAAUUUUCUAUUUUAAUCCGUAAAAAGUGUACUGAACUUUCGAACUGGCUUGGUAGGAAGUACUAGAAACUCCUUAAAUAAUUAUUUGAAUGCUGAUCUGUGAAUGAAAUAACUUACAAAUUAAAUAGAUGUGAUAGGCAUCUAUUUAGGAGGGAUUAUAAAUUAAAAUUCUUUACUAAUAAUUCAAAUUCAAAAACUUAAAUCUUCAGCACAGUGUCUACAAUGUAAAUCAAAGCUAAAAAUUAUACCAAGACCUUAGAAAUUAUACUAUAAUAUCAGCACAUUAUCAACUUUUAGAGCAUGCUUAAAUCACAAUUUGUAUUAGUAUUUGGAUAAUUCUUCAUAUUUUUUUGUUAAAAUAAUUAAAAUUAUUAUCAUUCAAUUCAAGUUAAAUAGUUGUGAGAGGCCCUGCUUGGAUAUUUUUGAAAACGUAGCAUAAUUAAACUAUACUACACUAGCAGAAAAAUUAUCCUGUGAAACAUUUGGAAGAAAAACAAAAUAACGUAAUUUUUGAAGUAUAGUUAAACUAUACUUCAAAAAAUAGAGUAAAAUUGUAAUUCACUCUAACCAAAAAAAAAUAAUUUUACUAUUCUUGGGCUCCCUUACCCUAAAAAUGUAUCAAAUUUUAAUUUUAAAUUUCAACCUAGAUUUUAAAUUUUAAGUUUUAAAUUUUAAAAAUUUAAAUUUAUUUUAAUUUUAAAAUUUUAAAUUUUAAAUUUUAAAUAGAAUUUUAAAUUUUAAAUUCUGAAUUUUUACUUUUAAUUUUAAAUUUUAGAAAAAUUUUAUGAAAUUGCACAAUGUGCAUUCAAAGAAUUUAAAAAUUGAAUUCGUGAAAUCUUUUAGAGUUAUAAAAUGUUCUAUUNAUUAAAUAGAUGUGAUAGACAUCUAUUUAGGAGGGAUUAUAAAUUAAAAUUCUUUACUAAUAAUUCAAAUUCAAAAAGUUAAAUCUUCAGCACAGUGUGUCUACAAUGUAAAUCAAAGCUAAAAAUUAUACCAAGACCUUAGAAAUUAUACUAUAAUAUCAGCACAUUAUCAACUUUUAGAGCAUGCUUAAAUCACAAUUUGUAUUAGUAUUUGGAUAAUUCUUUAUUUUCUUUGUUAAAAUAAUUAAAAUUAUUACCAUUCAAUUCAAGUUAAAUAACUAUGAACGUAGCAUAAUUAAACUAUACUACACUAGCAGAAAAAUUAUCCUGUGAAACGUUUGGAAGAAAAAAAAAAAUAACGUAAUUUUUGAAGUAUAGUUAAACUAUACUUCAAAAAAUAGAGUAAAAUUGUAAUUCACUCUAACCAAAAAAAAAAUAAUUUUACCAUUCUUGGGUUCCCUUACCUCAAAAAUGUAUCAAAUUUUAAUUUUAAAUUUCAACCUAGAUUUUAAAGUUUAAAAUUUUAAAGUUUAAAAUUUUAAAUUUUAAAUAGAAAUUUGAAUUUUAAAUUUUAAAUUCUGAAUUUUUACUUUUAAUUUUAAAUUUUAGAAAAAUUUUAUAAAAUUGCACAAUGUGCAUUCAAAGAAUUUAAAAAUUAAAUUCGUGAAAUCUUUUAGAGUUAUAAAAUUUUUUAUUUUAUUUAGACCAAAACUAUAACUUACAAAUUUUACUAAAUUUGUUUUAUUGUGCAGCCAAACAGUUCCAAAAUAAAAGAAAAGCAAUUAGCUAGGAAUCUUCUGGUACCGGAGGUGAAGAAGGCAGCACUCGUUUCGCUGUCAGUGGGGCACCUGACGACCCAGAGAAAGCGCUGCCCGCUGGCCUCCAGCCCGAGCGCCAUCUCCUGCAGCUGCUCGGUCGAGAUGGUCCCACCACUCCCCAGAGACACAAAUAAAACCGAGCCGGCCGGCUGCCGGUCCAGCCACUCCAGGCAGCCCGACUCGUCCUCCUCGUCUGACCCGGCGGACCGGACCGUCGGACCCACCAGGUGGACCGGCGGCCUCCCUGCUUCCACUUGCUCCUCCUCUAUGAUGGCUUUCACCGCCUCCGGCUCCAUCUCCUCGAAGCUGUUCACCAGAAUCCCGGCCGCCUCGCUGUAUCUGUGCGAAACAACCGUUUACUUUAAAAAAUUAUACUGACCACGUUCCAACUCAGUGUUUACUAUAUUAUUAUUUAAAAUAAUGAGUCCGGCUACUAUGCUAUUAAUAGCACAAAAUACUUGGUGCUACCAAAUUUUCCGCCGUUAGAUCUACCCUUGUAAUCAUUUUCACUCGUUAGAUCAUACUAUUCAACCAACCACUCACUCAAUUCUAUGGAGCCCAUAUCAUCCUAACCACAUCUCUUAAUCUAAUGACUAAAAAUUUAAUAGUACCAGUGACUUAGUGUUAUUCAUAGCACAGUAGCAUAGUUCUAAAAUAAUUAAUAAUUAUUUUAAAAACUUAAGCUACUGGAUAAACAUAUACUUAAUAAAAGGAUAAGGUGUCAGAGAACAGAUUUUUUUUUUUUUUUUUUUAUUACUUGCGCAGGGUCUGUAUGAGCGGAGCGUGCUCGGGGUGUGACUUCUUGCGGAAGGGGUCGGGGAAGUCCGUCCCGCGUAUGGCGACGCAGCCGGGCAGGCGGACGGGGUCGGGGAGGUCUUCGAAGUCGACGUCGGUGGUCUCGUCGAGCCGGGGCAGGUGCAGCGCGAGGGUGAGCAUCGUGAGGUUGGAAGGGUAAAAUAUGUAGCCCGGCACGCCGAGCUCCCGCACCAGCGACAGCGUCUCGGAUCCGUAAAGGCCGCAGACGAAGGCGGCGGCGGGGUUUCGGAAGGAGAGGAAGGCGUCGCGGAGGAGGGGGAGGCAUCGGGCGAGGAGGGCGCAGAGGUGGACUUCGAUCGGGGAGUCGGGGGGGAGGUCGGAGAGGGAGAUGGAGGGGAGGGAGACGGAGGUGACGGAGCCGGAGGGGAGGGAGGCGAGGAAGGCGGCCUGCGCCGGGGAGUCGAAGUUGGAGAAGGUGAGGAGGGUGGCGGAGAAGCCGUGGGCGGCGAGGCGAACGGCAAAGUCCGCCAGCGGGAUCACGUGGCCUAUUCCCGGCGCCGAGAGCAGGACCACGUGAGGUCGCCGGCUUUCAGCAUUCAUAUAAUUAAUGUGGUAAUAUUUGUUUGGACUGUCGUGCAGUACAAAAUAGAGAUAUAGAUAUGUAUCAACAGAAAAAGGGGAGUUUGAGUUGUGUUGUGUUUGUAAGAUUUUGCAGAAAGCUUCUCAUCAAUUACGGGAAAAAAGUGUGGGCGAUGUUCUCUGGUCAGUCGUCUUUGGCUCCAUGCGUUGUGGAUGUGUUUGGUGGUGCAUUUCUUUCCCAAUUUAAUAAUACAUAAAUAGAAUAGUAAAUUUUAUUUUUUUGAAUAUUUAUAGCAUUUUAGAAAGCAAUAUGUUACAUAAGUCAAAAAGUAUCAAACACAGCUGGUCAGAGUUGGUGCUGAACUGCAACUCUUGAGGAAAAAGACAAGUGCGAAAUUAUAUAAAAAAACCUUAAUAUUUAUUGAGGAUCUGUCUUUUCUUUUAAAAAAAAUGUAGAAGAGACAAAUGAAAUCCUCAGCAAUCAGAGCAAGUGGUCAAACAAGCCAUUUUGAUGGCACAGCAAAUCUAUUCAGUCGACCGAAUCAAUAUGAUGAACUUCUAAAAUUAAUAAAGCAAUUAAUUUUUAAAUUUAGAAGUCAUUGAUUAUCACUUUUUUAAUAAGUGUAUAUUGCAAUCUACAUUAAUUUAGUUGAUUGUAAUAUAAAAAUAGUAUUGUAAUAUUAUGAUCGUUGAUGCGCCAAAAAUUAUAAUAUUACAUCAUUUUUAUUUUAGCAGUAUAUUAAUAUUUAGUUAGAUAAAUUUAGGUACCGGACUUGGCUACUUGGUUUGUACUUAAUUCCAUACCAUUUGUUUGUUUGUUUGUUUUUUUUUUUGGAAUGUUACUUCAUCCCCUCUUUUGAUGUUGACUAUUGUCAAUUUGGCUUAAAUUAGCGUGCCAUAUCACUAAGAGAAUCUUAUUGAAGAAACAAUGGUCACAUAUGACGUAAUUAUAGUCAAAACAAAAAAGCUUUUAUAUUCUUAGGAAAUUACUUAUGUAAUAUUCGAAUUACCAUCCAAAAGGAAAAGAAAAAUUAACCACACAUUUUUCUGGUCCAAGUGGCUUGACAUUUUCAAAUAUAGUUUCCAAAUUUAUUUACUUUAUAAAAAAUAUUUACGCGUAAUAAGUUGACCUGAGAAACAAACUAAUCAUUGAGUAUACUAACAUUCUUGCGAAAUUAAUACAAAUGACACACGAAAUUAACAGAUAGCACGAUGCAUACUAAACAAACUAUUAAUAUAAAUGACACGCGAAAUUAACAGGUGAUACAAUGCAUACUAUGAAAAAAAUUAAUUCGACAAAAAAUUAUAAUUGAUAAAAACAAUUAUUCACAAAAAUAUAGAUUUGAUACUUUGUUUACUUUUACGCAGCACAAGAAAAUAAAUAGAUAAACCUAAGUAAUAGAUAAACCUAGUUAUCCAAAAGCCGACCAAGAGGUAGGGAAGUUCCAGUCCCCUAUACAAACUUAAAUUUGGGACUCUGUACGCUUGUAUGGGUUUAUUGUAUAACGGCGUGUUUGGUAAAAUGGAUCGACACUUCAGUAAAGCCACGAGUUCCGUCUGUAUGGCAGAGCUCGACUUUGAGUUCGCAUAGAGCGCGAACUUGUUGAUUUGUGAGACGAAUUCGCACGUGCAGGCGGAGUAGGCCCCAUGGAAGUCGAGCUCUGUCGUUUCGUCCAAACGUUGGCGAAUUUCUGUUACGAGAACUAUGCCACUUCGACCUCGAAUGUGAUCAAAACAAAUACACUCUAAGUUGUUUUUUUUUUAGAGAGAGAGAAAAAUAGCAUACUAUCUGUUCCGUUUAUUUCUUUUAAAAUAAAAAAAUAAAUUUAGCUGAAAAUGUGAAAUAAUUAGAUUUCGAACUUACAAUCUCAAGUAUCAACCACUAAAUUUUUCACCACUUGCAAUAUGGCCAGAGGUCAGUACACUCUUAAGUUGUGGAAAGGAUUGUUUGUGCCACUCAUAGACACACAAAAAAAAGGAUUAAGGGAUAUUUUCGGUCGGGCCGGACUUUCGAGAGCGACACCCGAACCCGGCUUGUUUAUGUUUCGAGCGGGGCUUUGGGCUGGGCUGAGGCUCCAACAGCCCAGCUCAAGCCCACCCGUUAAGCUCCAAACUCGGACUUUCUUAAUUUUCUUGUUAUUUUCAAAAAAGAAAAAAAAAACCAUCUACUUACCCUAUCAGAAAUCAAAUUUGAUUUUAAAAUAAUUGAACUAUACUUUGCAGAUAGGAGUUUGUAUGUAGCACUGGACAAUUAAUUUCUGACAAAGUUAGAGUACAUUUAGACUAUGCAAAUCCAGUGAUAUUUUUCCUCCUGUUUUGUCCGUUGAUAAGAUUCUUGUACCCUUCAAUUUUGGCUUUUACCUAUCUUAUCUUAUCAAUACCAAUAUAUUAAAGUGACGGACCGUCCCUAUCGUAAGUGGCAAAAGAUUUGGUGGUUGGUAUUCAAGAUUUCAAGUUCGAAUCUGUCUUGAUUUAUAUUUUCAGAUAAAUUUAUUUUAAAUAAAGUAAACAAAAUGAAUAACAUUCUACCUAUCUCUCUCUCUCUCUCAAAAAAAAAAAAAAAAAGGCAUUACAGGGCUACAUACAUGAAAGGAUAAUCCAAACCAUGUGAACAGCAGAGGCCCUCCUCGCUCCCCCCUCUCUCAGGUGGGUCACACUUUUUUUUUUUUCCCCCCCCCUCUCUCUCUCUCCUCUCAUCUCUCUCUCUCUCUCUCUCUCUCUCGUCUCUCUCUCUUCUCUCUCUCUCUCUCUCUCUAGAGAUGUCAACGGUCGGAUUCGGGCGAAUUUUUAAAACCCGAACCCGAACCCGACUCCAAAAACCCGAGACCCGAACCGACGGAUUUUAAAAUUCAUAUCCAAACCCGAACCCGACCAAAAUCGAAACCUGAACCCGAACCCGAAAAUUUGAACCUGAAAUAAUUAUUUCUUUUUUCAAUAUUUCAAAAUAUAUUAUAUUAAAUUUAAAUUUUUAAAAUACAAAUUCAAAUAUAACAUCAAUUUUUUAUAUAUAUAUUAUAUAUAAUGCAAAAUAAAUUCGGGUUCGGGUCGGGUUCGGGUCGGGUUCGGGUUCGGGUCGGGUACAAUCAAAAUCCAUAUCCGAAUUCAUAUCCGUUAGAUUUCUAUUUUUGAUUUCUAUAUUCGAAUCCAUAUCCAUAUCCAUCAGAUAUAUCCGGGUUCGGGUUCGGAUAAAAUUUCGGGUAUCCAUACCCAUUGACAUCCCUACUUCCUUCACCCUUUCUUUUUCUUUUUUUUUUCUCUCAACAUUUUUUGUUUACUUUUGCCUAUAUUACGUGUAAAAUUUUAUCGCAUAAACCAAUUCUAUUUUUUAAUUGUCAAUAUAACAAAAUUAAAAUUUUAUACGGUAUAAAAAAAUUGCACACCGAGUGUAUAAGACAUGCUCAUAUACAAUUUAUAAUUUGAAUUUUUUAUUUUUGCCUAUAUCAAGUGUAAAAUUUUAGCGCAUGGAGCAAUUCGAUCUAUUUUUUAAUAGCCUUCUCAAGGGUGAGGCCCACUUUUUUUUUCUCUCUGUCACACCCUAUACUUUUUUUCUUUUUUUUUUUUUCCUCUCAACACCUUUUCUUUUUUUUUUAUACCAAAUUUAAAAUUUUAUUGUAUGGAUCAAUCCUAUUUUUUAAUAGUCGAUAGUUUACGGCAGCCACCUCAAAUAAAGAGGUGGGCUCACUCCACUACUCUCUCUCUCUCUCUCUCUCUCUCUCUCUCUUACACACACACACACACACAUACACACACUAUACAAUUUUUUUUUUUUUCUCCCAACACUCUUUCCUUUUUCUUUUUUUUUUUGCCUACGCCAAGUGUUAAAAAAAUUAUACACCGAGUGUAUAAGACAUGCAUAUGUAUUAUAUAAGAUAAAGUUUAGCUUUCUAUCUAUCUAGCUAUAUCCAUACACCCUACAUACUAUACACCCUACACCCCUACAACCGUAUAAUCCUGUUUUUUAAUAGUAGGUAUAAUAAAAUUAAAAUUUCAUACUGUAUAAAACAAGUUGUACAUCGAGUGUAUAAAACAUGAUCGUAUACACACAUGCUUUUGACAGUAUCAAAGAGAACCUAUAUAUUUUGGGUUAAAAUUUUUUUGUACGUAUAAAAAUGCAUAUAUUUGAUUUAAAAAUAUACAAUAAAUGAAAUAACUAGGAAACAGAAUCUGGUCGAAUACUUUGUCAUAAUAAAAGUAGAUUAUACAUGCAUGAAAGUUGUGUGUAUUCGGUAGUUUGUACAGGAUAACAAAAAAGGACCCUCAUAUUUCUGGUAAAAAUACUCUAUUUUUUAAUAGUCGAUAUAAAAAAUUAAAAUUUUAUACGGUGUAAAAAAAUUAUACACAAAGUGUAUAAGACAUGCUCAUAUACAAUCUAUAAUUUAAAUUUUUUUUAUAUUUUUGCCUAAAUCAAGUGUAAAAUUUUAAUAUAUAUAUCAAUAAUUUUUUUUAAUAAUCUCUUCAAGCAAAGAGGUGGGGCCCACUUUUUUUUCUCCCAAUUACCCCACAUCCCUUAUUUUAUUUUAUUUUCUCUCAACACCUUUUUUUUUAUUUUUUCCUACACCUAGUGUAAAAAAUAGGGUUGAUCCAUGUGCUAAAAUUUUACAUUUAGUGUAGGCAAAAAUAAAAAAGAAUUCAAAUUAUAGAUUGUAUAUGAACAUAUCUUAUACACUCGGUGUACAACUUUUUUUACAUCGUAUAAAAUUUUAAUUUUGUUAUAUCGACUAUUAAAAAAUAGAGUUGGUCCAUGUGAUAAAAUUUUACACUUGAUGUAGGAAAAAAAUAAAAAUAAAAGGUGUUGAGCAAAAAAAAAUUUAAAAAAAGAGGUGUAGGGAGAGAGAGAGAGAGAGAGUGAGAGAGAGAGAAAAAAAAGGCAUAUUUUUCAAUAAUUAAUAUGACAAAAUUAAAAUUUCAUCUGAUAAAUACAAUCUAUAAUAUAAAAAAAUCUAGAUACGAAAAUUAAUAGAUUUGUAUCUCUAUAAUAAAACUUCAUAAAUAUUGUGUAAAAAAAAUUAUAGAUUCGGUUCGGUGUAUAAGACAUUCUUACACAUUCUUCAAUUUGACUUUGACUUGACAUAAAUAAAGUUUAGUUUUGAGCUCUCCUUGGAGCAUUGGUGGGGCCCACCCACUUUCUCCACUCCCCUCUCAACCAUUACCUUUUUCUUUCUUUCUUUUUUUGUUUGCAUCAUGUCUAAAAAUUCUUGCAUGAACAAAAAAAAUAAAUUUUUAAUAAUUUAUAUAAUAAACUAAAAUCUAACUUAAUAACUGCAAUCUAUAAUCUAUAAAAAGUGUAAAUACAAAAAUUACUGAAUUUUACUUUUAUAAUAAAAUUUUAUAAAUACAAUGUAAAAAAUUGGUUAUAUAUCUGGUUGAUUUAUUUUUUUAUAAAUAGACAGUUAUUGUGAAUCUUUUGUUUUUUGGUAGUACGCUAUUUUGUGUUCUCUUACUGUUUUAAUUAAGUAAUACUUUAUAGGUCCUAAUCAAAUCAUUAUUCUCAUCAAAUUUUUUUAAUUUAUUAAAAUUUAAUAAAAUUAUUAAUUUUUAGAUCUUUACAUGUCAAAUAUAUUCCUGUAAAAAAUAUACAGGUAGCAUUUUUCUUUUUAGAGAAAAACAGUGGUUCAUCUGUCCCAAUCCAUGACAAUCAUGAUGUUACCAAUACAGUGGAAAAAAUCAAACUACUUUAUGGUAGUAGGCAAUAUUUUACUUUGUUUUUUUUAAAAAAUAAAUUUAGAUGAAAAUGUGGUUCAAAAUUAGGAUUUCGGGUAUUAAUCAUCAAACUCUUUACAACUUGCAGUAUGAACGGUAGGUAAUAUUAGAAUAAAAAAUGGGCUAGUAUUUGAUUUAGUAAUUUAAAUUUAACAUCUUUUAGAUUCUUAUACUUAAAAGUAAAAUUAAAAUACUAUUAAUAGCAAAAGAAAAGUAUUUGCUACCUAUAUUAUAGUUUUUGAAUGCAUAGAGUUUAUUAUUUGGCACAAUAUAUGCUAUUAUAAAUUGAAGGACUACAAAGUUAAUAUUAAAUACUUUUAUAUACUAUCAAUAGUAUUAUAGAUAAACUCUUUUAUGCAUAGAAUUAAAAAAAGAAAAAAUCAAUUAUACCAUUCCAUUUGGCCCAAAUAUUUAUUUUUAUUUUGAUUUUAGACUUAAGAUUUUCUCAAUUAAAUUCUUAAGCUAUAUUAUUUGUUUCGAUUAAGUACCACUCAUCAAAAAGUUCAAUAAUUUUGAUAAAAUUUAUAGCAAAAUUGAUUUAGAAAUAAUGUGGCAAUUCUCGUCAGAUUUUAAUACAAGACUUUAUUGAAGGACCCAGGAGGCAUUGGUAACUUAAUUACAAAAUAUUUUACGAAAUCGAGAGUUAAAAUAAUAAGCUUACGAAUAGAGAGCGAUAUAAAGACACAGCAUUAUUAAUACUGAUUCAUUAAUAAUAUUUUAUAAAACGUGUUUCAAGCUUUUGCUACGCGCUCUGACUAGCUCCCUCCUUCCACUUAUUGGCAAGUCCCUGCAGCGACUUGUACGAGGACCCGCCCGGCGGCGCGAGCGCCCGCGACGCCGCCUCCUGCAGCUCCUUGGCGCGACGGUGCAGCGCCUUGCCCUUCUCCCCCUGCAUCAAUUCCUUCGCCGCCGCCGCGAUCUCCUCCCUGCCGACGACGCCGUAUGGCUCCCUCGCCUGCGGCUGUAUGGCGAUUCCGACCGCCUCGGCGAGCAGGAUGGCAUUCAAGCGCUGCUCGGCGUAGAGCGGGUGCGCGAUCAUCGGCACGCCGUGCACGGUGCUCUCCAGCGCCGAGUUCCAGCCGCAGUGCGAGAAGAAGCCGCCGGUCGCAGCAUGGGCCAGCACCCUGACCUGCGGCGCCCACGACGGCACCACGCGGCCCACGUCCUUUGUCCGUUCCAAGAAGCCCUCGGGAAGGUAAUUCGACGGAUCGUCCUUGUUUCCUAACAUCAUUUAUAAACAGUAAAAUGCGACAAAUCAAGUAUAGCAACUGAGUUCUCCAACCAACUUUGGCCUAUGAAAGAAAUAACUUACGCACUAAAUCGAUGUGCGAAGAAUUGUAAAAACUCUAUACUAAUAAAUCAAAAUUAUAUAUAUUAUAAUAUCGGCACAUCAUCAAAUUUUAUAGCAAAUAGCUUAGUACCUGAUGUGAAGAAGGCGGCGUUCUUUUCUUUGUCACUCGGACACCUGACAACCCAAAGGAAGCGCUGCCCGCUGGCCUCCAGCCCGAGUGCCAUCUCCUGCAUCUGCUCCGUCGAGAGGGAGCCGCCACUUCCGAAAGACACGAAUAAAACCGAGUCGGCCGGCUGCCGGUCCAGCCACUCCAGGCAGCCCGACUCGUCCGCCUCGUCCGAACCGGACCGGACCAUCGGACCCACCAGGUGGACCGGCGGCCUCCCUGCUUCCGCUUGCUCCUCCUCUCUGAUGGCUUUCAGCACCUCCUGCUCCAUCUCCUCGAAGCUGUUCACCAGGAUCCCCGCCGCGUCGCUGUAACUGCAAAACAAAUCGUUACUUUGACAACUCAAUUGUAUUCGAACUAAGAAUCUACUAUUUUAUUUAAAAUUAUCAAUUAUUUUAGAAACGUACGAUGUUUCUUACCUGCUCAUGAUCCGGAUGACCGGAGCGUAGGCGGGAUGUGACUUCUUGCGCAAGGGGUCGGGGAAGUCCGUCCCGCGUAUGGCGACGCAGCCGGGCAGGCGGACGGGGUCGGGGAGGUCUUCGAAGUCGACGUCGGUGGUCUCGUCGAGCCGGGGCAGGCGCAGCGCGAGGGUGAGCAUCGUAAGGUUGGAAGGGUAAAAUAUGUAGCCCGGCACUCCGAGCUCCCGCACCAGCGACAGCGUCACGGCCCCAAAAAGGUCACAGACGAAGGCGGCGGCGGGGUUUCGGAAGGAGAGGAAGGCGUCGCGGAGGAGGGGGAGGCAUCGAGCGGGGAGGGCGCAGAGGUGGGCUUCGAUCGGGGAGUCGGGGGGGAGGUCGGAGAGGGAGAUGGAGGGGAGGGAGACGGAGGUGACGGAGUCGGAGGGGAGGGAGGCGAGGAAGGCGGCCUGCGCUGGGGAGUCGAAGUUGGAGAAGGUGAGUAGGGUGGCGGAGAAGCCGUGGGCGGCGGUGAGCCGGACGGCGAAGUCCGCCAGCGGGAUCACAUGGCCCAUCCCCGGCGUCGGGAGCAAAACCACAUGCGGCCGCCGGCUCUCCUUCCCCUCGACAGCCAUAUAAUUAAUAUCGUAAUAUUUGUUUGGACUGUCGUGCAGUAUAAAACAGAGAUACAGAUAUAUUCGUGAGAAGGGAAGUCUGAGUUGUGUUGUGUUUGUAAAAUUUGUCAGGAAGCUUCUCAUGAAUUAAGGGAAAAAAAAGUGUGGGCCAUGUUCUCAGGUCGGUCGUCUUUGGCUCCAUGUGUUGUGGACGUGUUUGGUUAUGUCUUCCUUUCCAAUUUAAUAAGACAUAAAUAGAAUAUAGUAAAUUUUAACUUUUUUUAAUAGUUAUAGCAUUUUAGAAAGCAAUUUGUUACAUAAGUCAUAAAGUAACAAACACAGUACAUGAACUUGAUCAAAUUAUUAUUACGUACAAUAAUUAAUAGAUGCUAACCUAAUUAUUUAGAUAAGAUGCAUCUUAUAAUAAUAUAUAUUAAGCUUACUACCUAGAACAAAAUAUAAUUUGUAUGUACGCGUCACGUUUUUAUUAUUUCAUUUUAAACAAUUAUUGUAUGCGCAUAAUUGCUGACGAGUACUGCGUACAUCUUUUUAAUAUGUUGAUACAUCAAAAUAUUUCUCAUUCUAGUAACUCCCCUUCAACCAGUAUUGUCAAAAUACACUCCUGAACUUUUAAUUUCAGUUGCUAAAUUAACCAGUUUUAUUAAUCCUCCUCCUCCAAUAAAGUUAUUAAUUAAUUAAAUAAUGAUGCUGAUUGAUAAAUUAUCCUCAAAUUGCUAUAAUUACUUUCCUUUUGUACGCUUUGGGAACAAAUAAUAUCUUUAUAUAUGUAUACAAUUAAUGUGUACCUUAUUUAUGGGCACAUCGACAAUAUCAACAAUUUAUAUAUAUAAAAAAAAAUCUUUUAGACAUUCAAAAUAUUUUUCUAAAAAAAUAUUAAAAAAGAUGGAUUAAAUACCUUACAUCUGAUUUAGAUUUAUAACCUUCUAUCAUAAUAUGGUGGGCAUACAUGUUACUAAUUAAUUAGUAAUUACUCUGCCGAAUACAUUUUGAUCCUGUUCCAACUUUUGUUUUUAUCUUUCCUCUUUUUGUACUUGAUUAAUUACCUUAUAUUCCAAUAAUUACUUUUCUCCUCCCAUUUUGCUUAUGUUUUAUAUUGGGGUCUAAAAAUGAUUCUACUAGUUAUAUUAAGGUAUUAGAUGAACUUGAUCCAAUAACUAUUUUUAAAAGAAAUAAACGAAACAGUUAACAUACUACCUUACCCUCUCAAAAAAAAAAAAUUUGCUGUAAUAAUACCUUUCCGCCGUAUCGUACGGGCCGUUAACUAGUUUUCUAUAAUUUAACAACUACAACUCACGAGGAAAACGACAAGUGCAAAAUUAUAUAAAAAAAAAAAACUUAACAUUUAUUGAGGAUCUGUCUUUCAUUUAAAAAAAAAAUGUAAAAGAGACAAAUGAAAUCCUCAGCAAUCCAACUGGUACCGACCGUCCCUAGAGCAAGUGGCAAAAGACUUGGUGGUUGGUACCCGAAACUCAAAUUUGAAUCCUAGUUGAUUCAUAUUUCCAGCUAAGUUUAUUUCUAAAUAAAAUAAACGAAGCAGGUAGCGCGCUAUCUAUCUCUCAAAAAAAAAAUAAAUAAAAUCCGAGCAAGUGGUCAAACAAGCCAUUUUGGUGGGACAGCAAAUAUAUUUCAUGGACCGAAUCAAUAUGAUGAACUUCUAGAAACAACAUAAAGCAAUUAAUUUUUAAAUUUAGAAGUCAUUGAGUAGAGCUAGAAUACCCCCAAAAGCACCAAUAGGUUGGUGUUUUUGAGUUUUUAGCUUUUUGAUGGAGAGAUAUAGGGUUGAGAUGAUAGUGGUAGGUGGUACUACGUGGAAUAAUACUUGAUCCAAAGGGUAUUAGUAAUUGAAAAGCAUAUCCAAGGGAUAAAAACUUAGAAGCACCAAUAAGUUGGUGGUUCUAAAAGUAUUCUAGCUCUACUCGUCAUUGAGUAUCACUUUUUUUAACAGGCGUAUAUUCCAAUCUACACUAAUUUAGUUGACUAAAUAUUCACGCAUCGUUAAUGUAAAAAUAAUAUUGUAAUACUGUGAUUAUUGAUGCACCAAAAAUUAUAAUUUUACAUCACUUUUAUUUCAGUAGUAUAUUAAUAUUUAAUCAGAUAAAUUCGAGUGCGGGACUUGGCUACUUGCUUUGUACUUAGUCCCAUACCAUUUGUUUUUUUUUUUUUUUGGAAUGUUACUUCAUCCCCUCUUUUGAUGUUGACUAUUGUCAAUUUGGCUUAAAUUAGCAUGCCAUUACAUUAAUAAGAGAAUCUUAUUGAAGAAACAAUGGUCACAUAUGAUGCAAAUAUAGUCAAAACAAAAAAGCUUUUAUAUUCUUAGGAAAUUACUUAUAAAAUAUUCGAAUCACCAUCUAAAAAGAAAAGAAAAACUAACCACCCAUUUUCCUGGUCCAAAUGGCUUGACAUUUUCAAACAGAGUUUUCAAAUUUAUUUAUUUUAUAAAAAAUAAUUACGUGUAUUAAGUUGAUCUGAAAAACAAACUAUUCAUUGAGUAUACUAACAUUCAUGCGAAAUUAAUAUAAAUAACACGCGAAAUUAACAGGCAGUACGAUGCAUACUAAACAAACUAUUAAUAUAAAUGACCUGCGAAAUUAACAGAUAGUAUGAUGCAUACUAUGAAAAAAAUUAAUUAGACAAAAAAUUAUAAUUGAUAAAAAUAAUUAUUCACAAAAAUAUAGAUAUGAUACUUUGUUUACUUUUACGCAGCACAAGAAAAUAAAUAGAUAGACCUAAGUAAUAGAUAAACCUAGUUAUCCAAAAGCCGAUCAAGAGGUAGGGAAGUUCCAGUCCUCUAUAUAAAGUUAAAUUUGGGACUCAGUACGCUUGUAUGGGUUUAUUGUAUAACGGUGUGUUUGGUAAAAUCGAUCUACACUUCAGUAAAGCUAGAGUUCCGUCUGUAUGGUAGGAAAAAUUCUAGAAUGCAACGGGUAUAUUAGUGACGUGGCGUAACAAACUAAUCAAAUUAAUCCUUUUAAGAAUAUAUGUCCCAUCAUGAUUGUAAAAAAAUAUUUUUAUUGUACUUUUGUUUAAAAAGAAGGAAUGUGAUUGGCUUGUUAUUGAUGACGUGGUACAAGUGUGACAGUGUAGAAUUCCUCCCAAGAAAGGGUGUAGGCCCCAUGGAAGUCAAGCUCCGCCAUUUCGUCCGUGAGCCAACUUGUGGUUUUCUGAGACGAAUUCACACAUGCAGGCGGUGUAGGCCCCAUGGAAGUCGAGCUCUGCCGUUUCGUCCAAACAUAGGCGAAUUCCUGUUACAAGAAUUAUGUCACCUCCACCUCGAAUUCGAUCAAAACAAAUACGUUCUAAGUUAGUUUUUUUUUUUUUAAGAGAGAAAAACAACAUACUAUCCAUUUCGUUGAUUUCUUUUAAAAUAAAAAAUAAACUUAGCUGAAAAUAUAAAAUAAUUAGAUUUCGAAUUUAGAAUCUCAAGUAUCAAUCACUAAAUCUUUUGCCACUUGCACUAUGGCGGGGGGUCAUUACACUCUAAGUUGUUGAAAGAAUUGUUNUUACCCUAUCAGAAAUCAAAUUUGAUUUUAAAAAUAAUUGAAGUAUACUUAGCAUAUAGGAGUUUGUAUGUAGCACUGGACAAUUAAUUUCUGACAAAGUUAGAGUAAAAUUUAAACACACAAAAUAAAAUCAUAAUACUGUACUUAAUGAUGCAAAAUCCACUGGUGAUAUUUUUCCUCCUGUUUUGUCCAUUUACAAGAUUCUUGUACCCUUCAAUUUUGGUAUUUUCCUAUCUUAUCUUACCUUAUCAAUAUCAAUAUAUUAAAGGGACCGACUGUUCCUAGCGCAAGUAGCAAAGAGCUUGAUGAUUGAUAUUCGAGAUAUCAAGUUCGAAUCCUAGUUGAUUCACAUUUCCAUCUAAGUUUAUUUAUAAAUAAAAUAAAUAAAACGGAUAACAUUCUACCUAUCUCUAAAAAAAAAAAAAAAAAAAAGAUUAAAGGCGUACCAUUAGGGCUGGCAAAUGAGCGAGCCGCUCGCUUCGAGCUCACGCGUCGAACUCGAUAUUUGCCAUCGUGAGCUCGACUCCGAAAUUAAAAAUGAAGCUAGCUUGAACAAAAAAACAAAGCUCGAAAUACCAUUUCAAACCGACUUGAGUACUUACUCCGCUCGUUCGAAUUAGGCCCCCGAAAAGCUCGAAAUCAUAUAUAUAUAUAUAUAUAUAUAUAUAUAUAUAUAUAUAUAUAUAUAUAUAUAUAGUAGAGCUACUAUACUAUCGAAAGUAUAGAGAUCUGGUGCUCUCGAUUUUUUGAUUCUUAGAUCAAUCCCUUUAAUCGUUUUUUAUCUUUGGAUUAAUAUUAUUAUUACCUUAUAGGGACCACUCAAUCCUAAGAGUAUUAUUUAAUCCUAGGGAGACCGCAAUCAUCUCAACGAUACAAUUUUUAAUCAAAUGGUCAAAAAUUAAAAAACAUCAAAUCCUCUAUAUUUCGAUAGCAUAGUAGUUCUACACUAUAUAUAUAUAUAUAUAUACAUACAUAUACAUAUAUAUAUAUAUACAUAUAUAUAUAUAUACAUAUAUAUAUACAUAUAUAUAUAUACAUAUAUAUAUAUACAUACAUAUACAUAUAUAUAUAUAUAUAUACAUAUAUAUAUAUAUAUACAUAUAUACAUAUAUAUAUAUAUACAUAUAUAUAUUAAAAAAUAUAUAAAUAUAAUAUAUAUAUAUAUAUUAAAAUAUAUAUAAAUAUAAUAUAUUUUAAUUAUAUAUAGGUUGAGUGAAUAAUCUGAGUUUAGUUAAAAUUGGGCCAAUGUUGUUGGCCCAUAAAAACAAACCCAAUAGACAAAUAAAAAAGUAAAAUUUUACUAAAUUUAUAUAUUUUUCUUUUCUUUCUUUCUUUCUUUUCUUUACAGAGUUCUAAAUUUUCAAUAUUUUUCUUUCUCAUUUUCUGCCUCUCACCCUAAGUGGCCAAGCCGGAAGCUCUCUAAGUUACCAAGUAACAUCAUAUGCUCGCCGUUGCCUAUCUUACUAUUUAUUGUAUGCUUGAAAAAACAUAUAGAAUAUUUUUAAAGUAAAAAAAUUAUUAUUCAUAUAAAAUUUUAAUUUUAGUUAUAUAUGAUUGGGUAGUUUAAUCCAAUAUUUAUCUAUAAAAUUUAUUUAUUUUUGACUGUAUAAAUGAAAAUGAAUAAUAUAGAAAUUGAAGGCGGAAGAAAAGACAUGUGAGGCUGAAAAAAUUAGAUAUUCAACUCAUAAAUUAUUUUUUUUAAUAUUAUAAUACUAUAUUUCAUAUAAUUAUUUUGUACUUUGAACUAUUAGACAUAUUUUUGUAUCAAAUUAUAGAUAAUGUUCUAUAUAAAUUAAACUAUUGAUCGUAUAAUGUUCAGAAUUUCAAGCGGCUCGUUUAGGGCUCGAGCUCGCUCGACUUGAAAUUAGGCUCGCUCGAGCUCGACUCGAAUUAAUUUCAAUCCAAGCUUGAGCUUAAAUUUAGGCUCGAAAUUAAUUUCAAGCCGAAUUUGAGCCGAGGUAAGCUCGCUCGAGCUCGGCUCGUUUCCACCCCUACGUACCAUACAUGAAAGGAGAAUCCAAACCAUGUGUACAGCAGAGCCCUCCUCGCUCCUGUGGGGCCCACUCUUUUUUUUUUUUUUUUUCUCUCUCUCCCAUACUUCCUUCACCCUUUCUUUUUUUAUUUGUUUUUUUCUCUCAACAUUUUUUUUUUUAUUUUUGUCUAUAUCACGUGUAAAAUUUUAUUAUAUGAACUAACCUUAUUUUUUAAUAGUCGAUAUAACAAAAUUAAAAUUUCAUACGGUAUAAAAAAAAUUGUACACCAAGUGUAUAAAACAUGCUUAUAUACAAUUUAUAAUUUGAUUUUUUUUUUAUUUUUACCUAUAUCAAGUAUAAAAUUUUAGCGCAUACACCAAUUCUAUUUUUUAAUAGUCUCCUCAAGGAAAGCGGUGGGACCCACUUUUUUUCUCUCUCAUACUCUCUCUCUCUCACACCCUAUACCCCCCCCUCCUCCUCUUUUUUUCUCUCAACACCUUUUCUUUUUUGUUUUUUCCUACACAAGUUUAAAAUUUUAUCAUAUAGAUCAACCUUAUUUUNCUUAUUUUUUAAUAGUCGAUAUAACAAAAUUAAAAUUUCAUACGGUAUAAAAAAAAUUGUACACCAAGUGUAUAAAACAUGCUUAUAUACAAUUUCUCAACACCUUUUCUUUUUUGUUUUUUCCUACACAAGUUUAAAAUUUUAUCAUAUAGAUCAACCUUAUUUUUUAAUAAUUGAUAGUGUACAGCAACCACUUCAAAUAAAGAGGUGGGGCUCACUCCACUUUUUUUUUCUCUCUCUCACUCUCCCUCACUCUCUCACACAUUGUACACCGAGUGUAUAAGACGUGCACAUGUAUUGCAUAUGAUAAAGUUUAGCUUUCUAUCUAUCUAUAUCCAUACACCCUACACACACCCUACACCCUACACCCUACACCCUACACCUCUAUAAUCCUAUUUUUUAAUAUUCAAUAUAACAAAAUUAAAAUUUCAUACGGUGUAAAAAAGUUGUACACCGAAUUUAUAAGAUAUGCUCAUAUACACGUCUUUGACAGUAUCAAAGAGAACUUAUAUACUUUGGGUUAAAAUUUUUUUGUACGUAUAAAAAUGCAAGUAUCUAAUUUAAACAUACACAAUAAAUGAAAUAACUAGGAAAUAUAAUCUGAUCGAAUACUUUGUCAUAAUAAAAGUAGAUUAUACAUGUAUGAAAGUUGUGUGCACUCAGUAGUUGUACAGGAUAACAAAGAAGGACCCUCAUAUUUCUGGCAAAAAUACUUUAUUUUUUAAUAGUCGAAAUACAAAAUUAAAAUUUCAUACGAUGUAAAAAAAAUUGUACAACAAGUGUAGAAGACAUGCUCAUAUAUAAUCUAUAAUUUAAAAUUUUUUUAUUUUUGCCUACAAAAUUUUAUUGCAUGGACCAAUCUUAUUUUUUAAUAGUCUCCUCAAGCAAAGAGGGGGCACACUUUUUUUUCUCUCUCUCAUUCUCUCUCUCUCUCUCUCACCCUACACUGCUUAUUUUAUUUUAUUUUUUCUCUCAACACCUUUUUUUUUUAUUUUUUCCUGCUCCAAGUGUAAAAAAUAGGGCUGGUCCAUGCGCUAAAAUUUUACACUUGGUGUAGGCAAAAAUAAAAAAAAUUCAAAUUAUAAAUUAUAUAUGAGCAUGUCUUAUACACUCGUAUACAACUUGUUUUACACCUUGUAAACUUUUAAUUUUUGUUAUAUCGACUAUUAAAAAAUAGGGUUAGUCCAUGCGAUAAAGUUUUAUACUUGAUGUAGGAAAAAAAAUUUAAAAAAAGGUGUUGAGCGAAAAAAAUAAAAAAAAAAAAGGGUGCAGGGUGUGUGAAAGAGAGAGUGUGAGAGAGAGAAAAAAAAAACCUAUUUUUUAAUAAUUAAUAUAAUAAAAUUAAAAUUUCAUCUCAUAAGUAUAAUUUAUAAUAUAUAAAAAAUAUAGAUAGAAAAAUUAAUAGAUUUGUACCUCUAUAAUAAAACUUCAUAAAUAUUAUGUAAAAAAAAUUAAACAUUCGGUGUAUAAGACAUUGUUACACAUUAUUCAAUUUGACUUUAACUUAACAUCAAUAAAGUUUAGUUUUGAGCUCUCCUUCCUUGGAGCAUUGGUGGGGUCCGCCCACUUUCUCCACUCCCACUUUUUGGUAGUAGGUAAUAUUUUGCUUUGUUUUUUUAGAAAUAAAUUUAGCUGAAAAUGCGAUUCGAAAUUGGGACUUCGGAUAUUGAACACCAAACUCUUUACAACGUACGGUGGGAACGAUAGGUAAUAUUAGAAUAAAAAAUGGGCCAGUAUUUGAUUUAGUAAUUUAAAUUUAGGGAAAACUUCAAAAACCCCCCCUGUGGUUUCGUGCUUUCUCACUUUACUACCCUGUGGUUUAAAACGUAUCAAUUUGCCCCCCUGUGGUUUCGUUUUUCUCUUUUUGUUAUCAAUUUUAUUAUUAUUUUUUUCUUAAAUCAGUGACAAAGUUAAAAUUAAAGGAUACUAAAGUGAAUAUUCGAUAAAUAUAGAUGGUUAUCUGAAGUUUUUUGUAUAUAAUUUAACGAAAUGUUAACGAAAAAGCUUCCGAAAAGAUAAAAAUGAAACCACAGGGGGGCAAAUUGAUACGUUUUAAACCACAGGGUAGUAAAGUGAGAAUGCACGAAACUACAGGGGGGUUUUUGAAGUUUUCCCUUAAAUUUAACAUCUUUUAGAUUCUUAUACUUAAAAAAAAAAUUAAAAUACUAUUAAUAGCAAAAGAAAAAUAUGGCCAAAUUGCAUAAAAAAUCCACUAGUUUUGCGCUGUUGAAAAAGUGGGCCACUUUUUUCGAUUUUGCAGAUUCGGACCGAAUUUUCACCAAACUGACCAAAAUACCCUUAUUACUUUUUCCCUCUCCUCUUUUUUUCUCUCGUUCAUUUUUUUUUUCUCGUCGGUAGAGUGGAGGCGGAGCGGAGGCAGAAACGGCCCGUCUCGCCUCUCACCCUUAUGCUCUCGCCCUCGCCCUCGCCUGCGCACUCCCCACCUUCCUCGCCUCCGACCCCGCCGAGGCCGCACCGCGACUUUUUUUUUUUUUUCCUCUCCGACUCUCCUCCACCGUCUUCGGCGACGACGCCUCUCUCGCCCUUCCGCCUUUCUUGUCCUCUCUCUCUCCCUCCUACUCUGCUGCCUUCGACGACGACGCAUCUUCGCUGACGACGCAUCUUCGCCGACGCCGACACCGUUUAGGUCGCUACGGCGCCGCAACCUAGGGUGGGGGGUCCUUAGUGGCGUUGUCGCCGGCGCUGGCAGAGAGGGGUGACAAAAAAAAAAUAUAGAAGAAGCAAGAAAAAAAAAUAAAGAUAGAAAAUUAUAGAAAAAAAAAGAUGAAGAUUAAAUUGCACCGUUAAAAUAAAAUUACACUGUUUUAAAAGAACGUUGCAUUAUUAAGAUGUAAACUGCAGCUUUAAGAUUAAAUUAUACUCUUUAAACGAAAAUUGCACUCUUUAGGAGAUAUUUAUAUUGUUUCUCCUCUUAUUGCACUCUUUCAGAUGUAAACUGCAUCCAUUAAGAUAAAAGUUACACUCUUUAAACGAAAGUUGCACUCUUUGAGAGAUAUUUACACUAUUUCUCCUCUUAUUGCAUUGUUUCUCCUCUUGUUGCACUAUUUCUCUUAUUGUUUACACAGAAAUGGUGCAACAAGAGGAGAAACAGUGCAACAAGAAAAGAAAUAAUAUAAAUAUUUCUUAAAGGAAUGCAGUUUACAAAAGGAGAAACAGUGCAGCAAGAAGAGAAGAAAUAAUGUAAAUAUCUCUCAAAGAGUGCAACUUUCGUUUAAAGAGUAUAAUUUUUAUCUUAAUAGAUACAGUUACAUUUAAAAGAAUGCAAUAAGAGAAGAAACAGUGCAACAAGAGAAGAAACAGUGCAACAAGAGGAGAAACAGUAUAAAUAUCUCUUAAAGGGGUGCAGUUUACAUCUCAAAGGGUGCAAGAAGAGAAAAAAUAGUGUAAAUAUCUCUCAAAGAGUGCAACUUUCGUUUAAAGAGUGUAACUUUCAUCUUAAUGGAUGCAGUUUACAUCUGAAAGAGUGCAAUAAGAGGAGAAACAGUGUAAAUAUCUCUCAAAGAGUGUAAUUUUCGUUUAAAGAGUGUAACUUUCAUCUUAAUGGAUACAAUUUACAUCUGAAAGAGUGCAAUAAGAGGAGAAACAGUGUAAAUAUCUCCCAAAGAGUGUAAUUUUCGUUUAAAGAGAUAAAAAUUUAUCUUAAAGCUGCAGUUUACAUCUUAAAUAGUACAACUUAUGUUCAUAAUAGUGCAACGUUCUUUUAAAACAGUAUAAUUUUAUUUUAACGGUGCAAUUUCAUUUUCAUCUUUCUUUUUCUAUAAAUUUUUAUCUUUAUUUUUUUUUCUUGCUUCUAUCAUUUUUUUUUAUCACCCCUCUCUGCCAACGGCCACUGCGCCGGACACGACGCCGCUAAGAACCCCCCGCUCCGAGGCUGCAGCGCCGCAGCGACCUCCACGGUGUCGGUGUCGGCGAAAAUGCGUCAUCGUCGGAGGCGGCAGAGGAGGAAGGAGAGGGAGAGGACAAGAAGGGCGGGGAAGGGUGAGAGAGGCUUCAUUGUCGGAGACGGUAGAGGCGAGUCGAACAAGAAAAAAAAAAGAGUCGCGGCGCAGCCUCGGUGGGGUCGGAGGCGAGGAUGGUGGGGGGUGCGCGGACGAGGGCAAGGACGAGCUCGAGAGCAUGAGGGUGAAAGGCGAGGCGGGCCAUUUCCGCCUCCGCCUCUGCCUCCACUGCUUUCUUCGGUGAGAGAAAAAAAAAAUGAACGAGAGAAAAAAAGAUGAGAGAGAAAAAGGAGAGAGAAAAAGUAAUAAAGAUAUUUUAGUCAGUUUGCUGAAAAUUCGGACCGAAUCUGCAAAAACGAAAUAGAUGGCCCACUUGUACAAAAACCCAAAAUUAGUGAAUUUUUUUGUACAAAUUGGCCGAAAAAUACUAGCUACCUAUUAUUAUAGUUUUUGAAUACAUAGAGUUUAUUAUUUGGCGUGAUAUGUGCUAUUAUAAAUUGAAGGACUACAAAGUUAACAUUAAAUACUUAAUUUACUAUCAAUAGUAUUAUAGGUGAACUCUUUUAUGCAUAGAAUUAAAAAAAAAGAAAAAUUAAUUACACCAUUUGCCCCAAACAUUCAUUUUUUGUUUUGAUUUUAGACUUAAGAUUUUCUCAAUUAAAUUCUUAAGCUAUAUUAUUUGUUUCGAUUAAGUCCUGCUCAUCAAAAAGUUUAAUAAUUUUGAUAAAAUUUGUAGCAAAUAUGAUUUAGAAAUAAUGUGACAAUUCUCGUCAGAUUUUAAUACAAGACGUUAUUGAAAGACUCAAGAGGCAUUUGAAACUUAAUUACAAAAUAUUUUACAAAAUUGAGUGUCAAAAUAGAAAGCUUAUGAUAGAGAGCGAUAUAAAGACACCACAUUAAAUUACUAACUUGUGGACUAUAUUAAUAUUAAUUCAUCAAUAAUAUUUUAUAAAAUUCGUUUCAAGUACUUGCUACGCGCAGGCUCGCUCCCUCCUUCCACUUAUUGGCAACUCCCUGCAGCGCCUUGUAUGAGGACCCGUCCGGCGGUGCGAGCGCCCUCGCCGCCGCCUCCUGCAACUCCUUGGUGCGGCACCGCAGCGCCUUGCCCUUCUCCCCCUGCAUCAAUUCCUUCACCGCCGCCGCGAUCUCCUCCCUGCCGACGACACCGUAGGGGUCCCUUGACCGCGGCCGGAUGGCGAUUCCGACCGCCUCGGUGAGCAGGACGGCAUUCCAGUGCUGUUCGGCAUAGAGCGGGUGCGCAAUCAUCGGCACGCCAUGCACGGUGCUCUCCAGCGCCGAGUUCCAGCCGCAGUGUGAGAAGAAGCCGCCAGUCGCAGCAUGGGCCAGCACCUUGACCUGCGGCGCCCACGACGACACCACGCGGCCCACGUCCUUUGUCCGUUCCAAGAAGCCCUCCGGAAGGUAGUUCGAAGGAUCAUCCUUGCUUCCUAAUAUCAUUUAUAAACAGUAAAAAGCGAUAAAUCAAGUAUAGCAACCGAGUUCUCCAACCAACUUUGGCCUAUGAAAGAAAUAACUUUAAUACUAAAUCGAUGUGCGAAGAAAUAUAAAAACUCGAUACUAAUAAAUUAAAAUUAUAUAUAUUAUAAUAACAGCACAUCAUCAAAUUUUAUAACAAUAGCUCGGUACCUGAUGUGAAAAAGGCGGCGUUCUUUUCUUUGUCACUGGGACACCUGACAACCCAAAGGAAGCGCUGCCCGCUGGCCUCCAGCCCGAGUGCCAUCUCCUGCAUCUGCUCCGUCGAGAGGGAGCCGCCACUCCCGAAAGACACGAAUAAAACCGAAUCGGCCGGCUGCCGGUCCAGCCACUCCAGGCAGCCCGACUCGUCCGCCUCAUCCGAACCGGACCGGACCAUCGGACCCACCAGGUGGACCGGCGGCCUCCCUGCUUCCGCUUGCUCCUCCUCUCUGAUGGCUUUCAGCACCUCCUUCUCCAUCUCCUCGAAGCUGUUCACCAGGAUCCCGGCCGCGUCACUGUAACUGCAAAACAACUCGUUACUUUGACAAUUCAAUCGUAUUCGAACUCGGAAUCUACUAUUUUAUUUAAAAUUAUCAAAUUCUUUUAGAAACUUACGUUAUUAGAUAAGAUAACGAUAUUUCUUACCUGCUCAUGAUCCGGAUGAGCGGAGCGUACGCGGGGUGUGACUUCUUGCGCAAGGGGUCGGGGAAGUCCGUCCCGCGUAUGGCGACGCAGCCUGGCAGGCAGACGGGGUCGGGGAGGUCUUCGAAGUCGACGUCGGUGGUCUCGUCGAGCCGGGGCAGGUGCAGCGCGAGGGUGAGCAUCCUAAGAUUGGUAGGGUAAAAUAUGUAACCCGGCACACCGAGCUCCCGCACCAGCGACAGCGUCACGGACCCAAAAAGGUCGCAGACGAAGGCGGCGGCGGGGUUUCGGAAGGAGAGGAAGGCGUCGCGGAGGAGGGGGAGGCAUCGGGUGAGGAGCGCGCAGAGAUGGACUUCGAUCGGGGAGUCGGGGGGGAGGUCGGAGAGGGAGAUGGAGGGGAGGGAGACGGAGGUGACGGAGUCGGAGGGGAGGGAGGCGAGGAAGGCGGCCUGCGCCGGGGAGUUGAAGUUGGAGAAGGUGAGGAGGGUGGCGGAGAAGCUGUGGGCGGCAGCGAGCCGAACGGCGAAGUCCGCCAGCGGGAUCACGUGGCCCAUUCCCGGCGUCGGGAGCAGAACCACAUGAGGCCGCCGGCUCUCAUUCCCCUCGACAGCCAUAUAAUUAAUAUGGUAAUAUUUGUUUGAACUUGUGCAGUAUAAAAUAGAGAUAUAGAUAUGUAUCAACAGAACAAGAGGAGCUUGAGUUGUGUUGUGUUUGUAAGAUUUUGCAGGAAGCUUAUCAUCAAUUAAGGGAAAAAUGUGUGGGCGAUGUUCUCUGGUCGGUUGUCUUUGGCUCCAUGUGUUGUGGACGUGUUUGGUCAUGUCAUUUUUUCCCCAAUUUAAUUUUUUUUUUUGAAUAUUUAUAGCAUUUUAGAAAGUUACAUAAGUCAUAAAGUAACAAACACAGUACAUGAACUCGAUCAAAUUAUUAUUACGUACAAUAAUUAAUAGAUGCUAACCUAAUUAUUUAGAUAAGAUGCAUCUUAUAAUAAUAAAAUAUAAUUUGUAUGUAGGCAUCACGUUUUUAUUAUUUCAUUUUAAACAAUUAUUGUAUGUGCAUAAUUGCUAACGAGUACUGCGUACAUCUUUUUAAUAUGUUGAUACAUCAAAAUAUUUCACAUUCUAGGAACUUCCCUUCGACCGGUAUUGUCAAAAUACUCUCCUGAACUUCUAAUUUCAGCUGCUAAAUCAAUCAGUUCUAUUAAUCCUCUUCCUCAAAUAAAGUUCUGACUCAAAAUUAAUGAAGUUCAUAAGCUUGCUUGUGGUGUAUACGGCCAAGUUCACAUAGCUUUAGAUUAAUAAAUUUAGAUCAGGGAAAGAAUAGUAGAUGAUUGAAUUUCUGAGACAGGAUUUGAAUGUAAUAGUUAUUAGAGCAAUGGUGGAUUUCACAGUUGGGUGAUUGUUCCAUCCCUCUUGUAGAAUUGAGAUUGAGAGCUCUUACCAAUGGAUCGGAGCACCGAAUCGAGAAGCAGCACCACCGAGGGCUCAGUUCGGAUCACCAGGUCGAGGAUCAUCCUCGCUGGGCCAAGAAGGUCGAGGCGAUAGCAAAGGCGAUUUGGGGAUGGGAUCCGAGCUUGGAGAGGAUGUGGAGGAUGAGGAAGGAGAGAGGAAGAGCUGGAUCAAGCUCGGAGAGGAGGGGGUGAGGGAGCGAAGUGGUUGAGGGGCGAAGGGAGAGGAGGAAGUGAGGGAGAGAAGGGGUCAAUGCAGGGAAGGAGUGUGGGGGGAGUGGGAUCGGGUUAGUUUCGGAUUGUAUUAGGGCUCAAAGUAAAUAUAUUUAAUAUAUAAAUAUUAGCCGAUAAAAAUAUAUAAUUUAAAAUAAUUAUUGCUAAAAUAUAAUUAGAUAAUAAAUAAUAAUGAUUGUUCGAUAAUCGUCGCUGUUAAAUUAUCACUAAAAAUCUAUUUUGUUGUAGUGAAUAACAAUACAAUUGCAAUAAGUGCAAUCAAACAAUCAUUAUUAUUUAUUAUCUAAUUAUAUUUUANUUUGAUUCAAAUAAGUUAAAUUAACUAAAUGAGAAUAUAUUCAGCUGGUAAAUAAUGACUAAAUUUAAUAAAUAUAUAGAUGUUAAAGUAAAAAUAAAAUUUUAUUACAUGUUGGUAAUAUUAUUUACACACCACAGAUAAAAGUUGUUGUCCCUAGCUGGUCAGAGUUGGUGGGCAUAAAGGAGCAUCACUGAACCGCACUACAUGAAAUAUAUUUAUAAAUUUACUAAUUGAGAUCCUUUUCCCAGCCUUCCCCACAUCUCAAAAAAUAUAGGGGCCCUCUAUUUUAUUUUAUUUAUUAAUUUUAUUAGAUGAGAAUGGUCUCACAAAACUCAAUAAGGUAUCGUUUGGUUCGGAGAUAAGCAAAAAAUGGCUAUUCGAGGGAUAGAUAUAAAUUGAGGUAUAAGCGAGGAUUAAAUCAAUUUUGCGUUGGAUGAAUAUUAGCUUAUUCUUGGGAUUAAAAAAAAUAGCGUUUGGUUAGGUACGAUAGAAUAAGGAAGAUAGUUGGUUUUUAUAAAUAAAAAAUAAUCAUAUUAUCCUCUUAUUAUAUUUAAAUUUAAAUUUUUAAAUUUAAGAUUAAAUUUAAAUUUAAUAAAUAUAAAAUAUCAAAUUUUAAGUUUCAAAAUUAAAAUAUCAAAAUUAAAAUUUAUAAUUUAUAAUUUAUAAUUUAUAAUUUAAAAUUAUAAACUUUAAUUUUGAGAUUAUAAAUUAUAAAUUUUAAAAAUUUAAAAUUUUAAUUUUUAAAUUUUUAAAAUAAGAAUAGGGGUGGGAACAAUUAAUAAAAAUAAUUUAUUAUAAUAAAUUUAUAGAUUUUUUUAAAAAUUCUACUUAAACUUAAAUUUAAUAAAAAGAAUUUAUUAUAAUACUUAAAUAUAAUUUAUUAUAAAUUUUAUUAUAAUAUUUAAAUAUAAAUAAUAUGUAUUAAUAUAGUAUAAUUAAUAAUUUUAUAAUAAAAAUAAUGUAUUAUAAUAUAUAAUAUAUUAUAUUUAUAUACUUUAGUUUUAAUUCAAUUUAUAAUUUUAAUUAAGUUUGAAAUUAAGCAUUGGAAUAGCGCUAUUCCACCAAAAUGGUGGAACAAUAAAUUCCUUGCUAUCCCGGAAUAACCGGGAAUAGCAAGGUUUGACCGGGAUAAAAUAUCCCGACCAAUUUUCAUCCCGUUUGGCAGAUUAGCGGGCUCAUUUUAUUAUUUAUUAAAUGACAAUGGUUAAGUUUAAGUUGAAGUAAUCUUCUUAAUAUUUCUAGAAAAAGCAAAUUAAUUACUCGAAAGUUUACAAAAUAUUUUAUUAUUGAUUACCAACUUUUUUAUCCCAAGGUAUCGAUUUCUCUAUUGAAUUUUUUUUUAUUUUCUCUUCUUAAAUUGUUAUCUUUUUUUUUUUUAUCUGCUAUUUAGUAAAAUUGUUAUAGUUUUGACGAUAUAUUUUUGUCAGAAAAAUGACUCCGAUAUUUCUAAAUAGUAAAAAAAAUUAAAUAAUAGCUUCAUAACUGAGUUAAACACAAAAACGAUGAAACUAAACAAAAGUGCUUCCUUCUAUUUUAGUUAUUAAAAACUUGCCAAAAGUGCUUUCGUUAAUAUUUUUUAUUUUGGUCCUCAAUUAUUUUUUUUGCAAUUAAAUUUUCGAAUCUCUUGAUUUCAUCGUAAUAAAAUAGCACUGUUAAAAGAGAUUUUAAAAUUAACGAUAUUAUCAUGCCAUCGCUCAUUUAGCUUUUUUUUUUCAUGUCAAUUUUAGUCUUUUUUUUUUACGAAUUAAUCGCAUAUUGGUCAAAACUAUUUCACUAUUUUUUAUUUCCGUCCUCAAAUCUUUUUUUUUUUGCAAUUAAAUUUUCGAAUUCUUGAUUUCAUCCCAAUAAAAUGGCAGUGUUAAAGGAGCUUUUAGAAUUAACGAUAUUAUCAUACCAUCACCUAUUUAGCUUUCUUUUGCAUGUCAAUUUUAGUCCGUAAAUUUUAUUUUUCACAUUAGCUUUCAAAAAUAAAAAGUUUAAAUUUUAAAUUUAAAUAUGAAAUUAAUCUUAAAAUAAUGCCUUCUUUAUUUUGGGGGUUGUGGGGACUCACAUGCAAUUUUUUAAAAAAAUUAAUCGCACAUUGGUCCCAACCUAUUCACUAUUUUUUACUUUGUUCCUUAAUCUUUUUUUUGUAAUCAAAAUUUCAAAUCUUUUGAUUUCAUCGCAAUAAAAUGCCACUGUUAGAAGAAGUUUUAGAAUUAACGAUAUUAUCAUGCCAUCGCCUAUUUAGUUUUUUUUUGCAUGUCAAUUUUAGUCCUUAAACUUUAUUUUUCACUUUAGUUCCCAAAAAUAAAAAUUUAAAAUUUUGAAUUUAAAUUUGAAAUUAAUCGUAAAAUUUAUUCGAAAACUUAUGAGUACAAAGAGGUCUAUAAUCAUAAGAGUAUAAUAGCUUAACUAUAUAUAUAUAUAUAUUGAUUUUAAUAAUAAUAAUUUACUAUAACAAUAAUCGAUCGUCCCUAGCGCAAGUGACAAAGGGCUUAGUGAUUGAUACCCAAGGUCCCAGAUUCGAAUUCUAGUUGAUUCACAUUUCCAGCUAAGUUUAUUUCUAAAAAAAAUAAAUGAAACAAAUAGCAUGUUAUCUUUCUCUCUAAAAAAAAAAAAUACUAUAAUAAUACUUUCCCGCUUCUUUUUCAAAAAAUAUUAUAAUAAUAUCUUUCCACUGCAUUCCGCGGGCUUAACUAGUUUUGUAUGAAUUAACAACUACAACUCUGGAGGAAAAAGACAAGUGCAAAAUUAUAUUAAAAAACCUUAACAUUUAUUGAGGAUCUGUCUUUUAUUUUUUUUAAAAAAAAUUUAGAAGACAAAUGAAAUCCUCAGCAAUCCGAGAAAGUGGUCAAACAAGCCAUUUUGCUGGGAGAGCAAAUAUAUUCAGUCGACCGAAUCAAUAUGAUGAACUUCUAGAAACAACAUAAAGCAAUUAAUUUUUAAAUUUAGAAGUCAUUGAGUAUCACUUUUUUAAUAGGCCUAUAUUACAAUCUACACUAAUUUAGUUGACUAAAUAUCGACAUAUCGUUAAUAUAAAAAUAAUAUAGUAGUGUUGUGAUUGUUGAUGCACCAAAAAUUACAAUAUCAUAUCACUUUUAUUUCAGUAGUAUAUCAAUAUUUAAUCAGAUAAAUUUGGAUGCGGGACUUGGCUACUUGCUUUGUACUUAAUCCCAUACCAUUUGUGUUUUUUUUUUUUUUUUUUUUUUUUUUUUGGAAUGUUACUUCAUCCCCUCUUUUGAUGUUGACUAUUGUCAAUUUGGCUUAAAUUAGCACGCCAUUACAUUAACGGAAUCUUAUUGAAGAAACAAUGGUCACAUAUGAUGCAAAUAUAGUCAAAACAAAAAAGCUUUUAUAUUCUUAGGAAAUUACUUAUAAAAUAUUCGAAUCACCAUCCAAAAUGAAAAAAGAAACUAACCACACAUUUUUCUGGUCCAAGUGGCUUGACAUUUUCAAACAGAAUUUCCAAAUUUAUUUAUUUUAUGAAAAAUAAUUACGUGUAUUAAGUUGAUCUGAAAAACAAAUUAUUCAUUGAGUAUACUAACAUUCAUGCACAUUCACAUGAGUGAUUGAUAUAAAUGACACACAAAACUAACAGGUACUACGAUGCAUACUACGAAAAAAGAUUAAUUCGAUAGAAAAUUAUAAUUAUAAUUGAUAAAAAAAAUUAUUCACAAAAAUAUUGAUACGAUACUUUGUUUACUUUUACGCAGCACGAGAAAACAAAUAGAUAAACCUAAAGCAAUAGAUAACCUGGUUGUCCAAAAGCCGAUCAAGAGGUAGGGAAGUUGGAGUCCUAUAUAUAAACUUAAGUUUGGGACUCUGGUACGUUUGCAUGGGGUUUAUUGUAUAAGGGCAUGUUUGGUAAAAUCGAACUACACUCCAGUGAAGCCGCGAGUUCCGUCUGUACGGCAGAGCUCGACUUUGAGUUCACAUUGGGUGCGAACUUGUGGUUCUGUGAGACGAAUUCGCACGCGCAGACAGUGUAGGCCCCAUGGAGCUCUGCCAUUUCAUCCGUGCGCGAACUUGUGGUUCUGUGAGGCGAAUUCGCAUGUGCAUGCCUACAUUUCGUCCAAACGUCAGCAAAUUUUUGGUACGAGAACUAUGUCACUUCGACCUCGAAUUCGAUCAAAGCAAAUACGCUCUAAGUUGUUUUUUUUUUUUUUUGAGAGAGAGAGAGAGAGAGAAUGGUAGCAUACUAUUCACUUCGUUUAUUUCUCUUAAAAUAUGAAAUAAAUUUAGCCGAAAAUGUGAAACAACAGGACUUUGAACUUAGGAUCUCGAGUAUCAACCACUAAAUCCUCUACCACUUGCGCUAGAGAGAUCAGUAUGCUUUAAGUUGUUGAAAGCAUUAUUUGUGCGACUCAGAGACACACACACACACACACAAAAAGGGAUUUACGGGAUAUUUUCGGUCGGGCCGGACCUUCAAGAGCGACACCCGAACUCGCUUUAUUUUUCGAGCUGGGCUUUGGGCUGGGCUUAGCUCAAGCCCACCCGUUAAGCUCCGAACUCGGACUUUCUUUUCUUGUUAUUUCCAGAAAGAAAAAAAAGAAAAAGAAAAAUGCCCCUCUAUUUACCUAUCAGAAAUCAAAUUUGAUUUUAAAAUAAAUGAACUAUACUUAGCAUAUAGGAGUUUGUAUGUAGCACUGGACAAUUAAUUUCUGACAAAGUUAGAGUACAUUUAAACUCACAAAAUGAAAUCAUAACAGCUUACUUCGGUGAUAUUUUUCCUCCUGUUUUGUCCAUUCAGAAGAUUCUUGUACCUUUAUCUAUCCACUCGUUUUGCUUGUAUGCAGCAAAUGAGCAAAAAAAAAUUAAAAAAAAAGAGUUAAUAUUACUGCUGCUACAUUCGUUGAGUAAAAUGAACUUAACAACGAAAGCACAAAUAAAAAAGACGAAAAAAACAUAAGACCUAAAAAACAGCAAGUUUCUUCUGCAUUCGUCUUGUCCGGUCAGGAUUCUUAUUUCCAUAUUUAAAUAAAUGCCAACAUUUCGCAAACUAACUGAACUUGAGGAUUGAUAUAUUGACAAAUUUAGACAUCAAACACAAUACAUCUUAUAUUAAUCUCAGCUCUUACGCUUAGAUUGAGCAUCACCCACAACGAUCUAGUGGGAUACUAAUAUCGAAAAGCACAUGAGACAAUACAUGAAAUGCACCAUAUCAUCAAGCAUCAUGAGUACAAUUUUUUUCAAUCAUACUAAGAACACAUAUACUACAUCUACUUCAUCGACGAAGACCUCGAAUCCUCUUCGUUUAGCGCGAUCACCGUGGCUAGAUCAUUCCAAGUGUCCACUGGCCCUGGCAGACACCAAUGCAGACAGUCAUUCUGCGGCUUCUUACUAAGAUCGGGAUGUAACUUCCUGUAAGGCCCCGGAUGCCCGUCGGGCCGUAAUAACGAAAGGUGAUACGUAUCGAACAGCUUGAGUCGGGUUCUGUUCUUCGAUCCGAUCGCCGCUGCUUUCUUGAACUCCUCUACCUCGAGCCGCCACAUCAUGUUGUCCGUUGCAUCCCCGUUAAACUCGCCUGCUUUGUACGGCUCAGUCCGAUUACAAACCCCUCCGCUGUACCAUUCUCCAUACUCGAAGUGAUCCGCGAGCCACGUCCGGAACAGGACGAGAGGCUUGUGAUCUGACUCUAUGAUGAAAUUGAACGACAAUUGAAGGGCUUUUCUGUAAGCGUAGUCGAACCCGAGAUCCUUUACGUCCUUUUCGGGGCAGUUAUGGCAUCCGACGAUGGUAUUGUUCUCCAAAUACAUUGUUGUUUUCAGAAACCACUGCCCGCCGGAAAUUAUAAUGUAAUCGAAGUUGCUGUAUUGGUUUGUCCACGUGCUUUCGAGGGCGUCGAGAUGGAGCUUGAUAUCAUAAUUUCGACUGGCAUCGCGGCUUACUUCGGCCUUGAGAAGGAAAGGAGCCCAAAGGAGGGCGAGAGUGAAGUUGUACGAAGGGAAGUACCAUGUUCUCGAUUGAUAGUCUUCGUCGUGGUAGAUGUCGGUGGCUUCUUCCACCUGAGAUCAAAGGACAAGCAUUUGAUCGAGCGUGAGGUAAUUAUUAAAGGUAUGCUGCAUCAGCUUGAACCUAUGGUACAACAACAUGAAAAUUCCAAGGGAACCUACGGUAGGAAUUAAAAGAAAGAUCUAAACUAACAAGCCAAGCAAACUAAAAGACUUAUCCUCAAAUUUUUCGAAUUCAUAGAAGCGAACUUGAUUCAACAAUUUAGCCUAUUGCACUCCAAUUCCAAAUAUAUUUGUGCAAAAGAUUAUCAAAUGAAAUGGAAAACAGAUGCUCGUUCUUUCAUGAAGAAGCAUCUACGACGGGCACCUGCGAGAGAAGACAAAGCCACGAGUUGAGCUGGUUCCUAAAGAUUGAAUCACCGACCAGCCCCCAAGCUUUAUUUCGCAUGGCGUUCAAGAACUUCUCCGCAUUAGCUCGAGGCAAGUCGCAACUCUGUGGUUUCCAUCUCCAAUAAAGGUAUUCUCUGUCGGGCCGCCCAUUCGUCAUGCAAUCAUUAGGAGGGUCUAUAUAUUUGCAGCUCGCAUUGGUGUAAGCCGGCCCCGAAGGGUUCGAGAUCCAACUCCCGGCGAAAAAAUUGCAUCCUGCGGUACCAGUAACACAUGUUGUACUCAUUUUACAGAAUAGCACCAGUUUAUAAGCAAUAAUGAGAAUCAAAGACUAGCAAAUCGAAUUACAAAUAGGUCGUAAAGGUUUCAAUUUUCAGCUUAGGUGUAUAAAAUUGUGCUUGUUAGAAUGCUAAAUAUUAGUCACAGUUUUCUAUUUUCUGUAACUGAAUGCAUUUAAAAGUUUAGCCAAGUUAAAAAAUUUAUCAAAUUUAAUGAAUCUAUUAGCAAUAUAGCCAUUAAUUCUUCUAGCUACAUAUCAAAUCAAUUCAAUUUGACAGUAUAACUAAUUCAAUUUGACAGUAUAACUAAUAAUUAAAUUUGAUAGGAAUUUACUCUAAUUGACUGAAUCACAAGCAGUUAAUUCAAAAACAAAUCAAAAGUUAAAUAUGAAAGCAUAAAUUAGAAACAUAAUAAAGUAAAAGGGGGUCAUUUAAGGUGCCUAGAAACCCUAGGCAAGAGCCCAAGCACAUAGAGGGCUAUAAAAGCCUACAUUUUUUAUCACAACUCGGAUUCAUAUACAGUAAUCCAGGACGUAUAGCACAAGGUGUUUGAGGAAAAGCCCAAGUUAAUUUUUUUUUUUUUUUUAAAAAAGAAAGAAGAAGCCAUUUUGAGAAGGUAAAUGAAUCCCCUUAACCUCCGUCCACGUCCCCAUCGUCGGAGGGAUCCGAGGGGAAAAAGGAGCCCCCGGAGGCGGAGAAGACGAGGUACGCGCAGAAACCGCCGAGGAAAGCGAAGCCCAAAACCUUGGUGAGGGUGUGGUUGGCUAUGGUGGUACUCGGAGGAGAAGACGACGACCCAUCGCCCAAGCACUUCUCCUUCUCCUCCUCCGCCAUGGACAUGGCUCCGAGCUCGGAGAGAGAGAGAGAGAGAGAGAGAGAGAGAGAGGGAGAAGAGCGGUGGAGGGAGAGGGGAAAAAGGGGAGAGUUUUAUAGAAGAAGAGGUGGAAAUGGAACCAAAUAGUUAAGUGAGGCGUUUAAUAAUGCAGAGUUUGCAACACCUCCACACACACACACACAACAGAAUAAAACAAGACUCCAAUUUGCCCUCACAUAAUUUAAAAAAGAUUCAUUGCAUACAAUACAACUCUCUGUAAACGAAUAGUAAAUAUAUUUUUAUAAAAUUUAAUUUUUUAUAUUUAUUUUUAUAAAAAUACUAAUAUUUUUAAGUAUGUCCAUGUCGUUAGAAUCGAUUAGAAAACUUUAGUUAAAUAUAGGUUAAAUGCUUAACUCCGAUUAAUUUAUGGGUGCGUUUGGUUCGCGCUAUAUUUUAAAGAUUCCUAGUAAUCCAAUGAGAAUAAAAAAUUAUGACGGUGUUUGGCUAAACGCACUAAGUAAUCUAGUUGGUAAUAUUGGAUUCACUUGGGAAUAAGAUUCACCNNNNNNNNNNNNNNNNNNNNNNNNNNNNNNNNNNNNNNNNNNNNNNNNNNNNNNNNNNNNNNNNNNNNNNNNNNNNNNNNNNNNNNNNNNNNNNNNNNNNNNNNNNNNNNNNNNNNNNNNNNNNNNNNNNNNNNNNNNNNNNNNNNNNNNNNNNNNNNNNNNNNNNNNNNNNNNNNNNNNNNNNNNNNNNNNNNNNNNNNNNNNNNNNNNNNNNNNNNNNNNNNNNNNNNNNNNNNNNNNNNNNNNNNNNNNNNNNNNNNNNNNNNNNNNNNNNNNNNNNNNNNNNNNNNNNNNNNNNNNNNNNNNNNNNNNNNNNNNNNNNNNNNNNNNNNNNNNNNNNNNNNNNNNNNNNNNNNNNNNNNNNNNNNNNNNNNNNNNNNNNNNNNNNNNNNNNNNNNNNNNNNNNNNNNNNNNNNNNNNNNNNNNNNNNNNNNNNNNNNNNNNNNNNNNNNNNNNNNNNNNNNNNNNNNNNNNNNNNNNNNNNNNNNNNNNNNNNNNNNNNNNNNNNNNNNNNNNNNNNNNNNNNNNNNNNNNNNNNNNNNNNNNNNNNNNNNNNNNNNNNNNNNNNNNNNNNNNNNNNNNNNNNNNNNNNNNNNNNNNNNNNNNNNNNNNNNNNNNNNNNNNNNNNNNNNNNNNNNNNNNNNNNNNNNNNNNNNNNNNNNNNNNNNNNNNNNNNNNNNNNNNNNNNNNNNNNNNNNNNNNNNNNNNNNNNNNNNNNNNNNNNNNNNNNNNNNNNNNNNNNNNNNNNNNNNNNNNNNNNNNNNNNNNNNNNNNNNNNNNNNNNNNNNNNNNNNNNNNNNNNNNNNNNNNNNNNNNNNNNNNNNNNNNNNNNNNNNNNNNNNNNNNNNNNNNNNNNNNNNNNNNNNNNNNNNNNNNNNNNNNNNNNNNNNNNNNNNNNNNNNNNNNNNNNNNNNNNNNNNNNNNNNNNNNNNNNNNNNNNNNNNNNNNNNNNNNNNNNNNNNNNNNNNNNNNNNNNNNNNNNNNNNNNNNNNNNNNNNNNNNNNNNNNNNNNNNNNNNNNNNNNNNNNNNNNNNNNNNNNNNNNNNNNNNNNNNNNNNNNNNNNNNNNNNNNNNNNNNNNNNNNNNNNNNNNNNNNNNNNNNNNNNNNNNNNNNNNNNNNNNNNNNNNNNNNNNNNNNNNNNNNNNNNNNNNNNNNNNNNNNNNNNNNNNNNNNNNNNNNNNNNNNNNNNNNNNNNNNNNNNNNNNNNNNNNNNNNNNNNNNNNNNNNNNNNNNNNNNNNNNNNNNNNNNNNNNNNNNNNNNNNNNNNNNNNNNNNNNNNNNNNNNNNNNNNNNNNNNNNNNNNNNNNNNNNNNNNNNNNNNNNNNNNNNNNNNNNNNNNNNNNNNNNNNNNNNNNNNNNNNNNNNNNNNNNNNNNNNNNNNNNNNNNNNNNNNNNNNNNNNNNNNNNNNNNNNNNNNNNNNNNNNNNNNNNNNNNNNNNNNNNNNNNNNNNNNNNNNNNNNNNNNNNNNNNNNNNNNNNNNNNNNNNNNNNNNNNNNNNNNNNNNNNNNNNNNNNNNNNNNNNNNNNNNNNNNNNNNNNNUUUUUUUUUUUUUUAGAAAAAAUUUUUGUGAACUUAGAGCACUAUAUAUUCAUUAAAUCUUUUGCCACCUGCGCUAAAAGCUGCCGAUAAUCUAAGUAUUAUUAUGAGCCCAGCUCAAGUGCUUUUAGAAGCACCAAAUCUUUGGUGCUAUUAAUUUUUUGGCUUUUAGAUCAUGCAUAACAGAGGCACCCACCAUUAGCCACUAUUAUUAAAUUUUAAUCCAAGGAUCAAAAAGUUAUAAGUAUCAUAAACUUGGUACUUCUAAAAAUAUUCCAACCUAGUUUUAUUAUUAUUCCUAUAUAAAAUAUCUGUCAGUCGAGAAGAAGUGGCCGUAUUUUGUGCAAUUUUAUAUUACAGCAAAAGACUUUUAAGAUUCAAGAGUUUAUUUCUGUUUUUUUAUUGGGUUUCAAAAGCCUUACAAACGGCGAGCUUUCAAUUAAAGCUGUCCAAAAUACUCGAUAUGCCAUACCCGAUCCGGACCCUACUCGGACCCGAUCCGGACCCUACAAAUUUAUCCAUUAAAGUUUCGGGUAUGAGUCUAGAUACUUUAUACCCAUACCCGGCUUGGACCCGAUCCGAACCCAAACUUCUAAUGGGUAGGGUCUGGAAGAGUUUUCAAAUCCGGACUUGGAAUCGGACUCGAAAUUGGGCCCGGUGAAGUACCCAAUAGUAAAUAAAAAAAUGUGAAGUUGAGAGAUCAAUUUCAAUAGGACUUGUAAAUGAAGGAUCUCUGUAUAUUUUCAUCCUAGUGAAAACCCUAGUCUCUUUGUUUACUUAUUUUUUUUAUUUUUAUUUUACUCUUUUUGUUUAAUUCUAGUUGUUUACUCCUUGAAUCUUCCUUUUGAACGAAUUUUAUUAGACUGGCUGCAACUAAUUAGAACGCGGAUUUUUUAUAGUAAUAGGUUUAUACUUUGUCAAUAAACUGUUUAAUAAAACUUAUAAAAAAUAAAUGCAUACGGGUAUCCAUACCCGAUCUAGACCCGAUCCGUACCCGAUCCAUAUUCGGUUUUAAGCGGGCAGUAUACGGGUAGUCAUUACCCAGANAUAUACUAUUAGAAUCGGUUAAAAAAAUAUAGUUAACCAUAAAUAAAAUACUUAAUCUUAGUUAAUGAUGAGAUAAAUUGAUCUUUUUAUCUCUCUUAUAUUAAUUGUGAUAGUGGAAAAAAAAAAAAGAUAAUCAUUGAAACAUUUUGGAUGACAUUUUUGUAUAAUUCCAACCGUUGAAAUUUUUGAAGAAUAUAUUUAUGAUUGCAAAAAUAUUAUUUUCCUUAUCGUCUAUUAAAAAAUAAACGAUAAUUUAUCGGUAAUAAAUCAGAAUGACAACUAUGAAUAUCAUUGAAUUGUUGUGGGGAUUAAUGUUAAAAGUUGAACCUUAUAGAGAUAUAUUUAUUAUUUGAUAUAUUUACAGGAAGCUGUAUAAAAUUAACCCUCUAAAAAUUUAUCACUUUAUAAUUUAAAAAUUACAUGAAAUUGUUUUAUAAUUUUUAUUUUACUAAAAGAAUAUUGUUCAAUAGGAUAUCAUCCUAUAAUGUUUAUGAUAUUUCAUUUUACUAUCAUAUUGACCAUAGAUAUAGAUAUUUCGUUGAAAAAAUAUAUAUAUAAUAAUUUGAUAGUUUACUACAACUUUUCGAGAUACGGAGUAAUAAAUUGUAGUACACCAUAGAAAUACAAAUUAAAGUUAAUCUUAAAUAAAAUAUAAAAAAAAAAUGGUGUUGUCUAUACACUUAUAAUAUAAGUAUAUAAUUUACAUUUUAAUUUUUUAAAAAGUCAAAAUUUGCUUACUUAUCUUAUAGCUUUUAUACUAAAAAAUAAAAAAAAUAAUAAUGGAAGGUAAAAUGUACAAUCUUAAGUACAGGUGUGGAUAGUAUUUUGUUUUUUUAAAUAAAUCUCGUGUAGGAGAUAUUUCUUGAACCGGGCCCACCAUGCUGGCCGUGGACCACUCACCCUUGUCCCAGUCCGAGGAGGCCUUUUCUCUCUCUGUUGAGUACUGUCAAUAGGGAUGCCCGAAUCAAAAUUCAAAUCCCGAUUAUCAAAUUUGAAUUUUGAAUCUGAUAAAUUUUAUAUUCAAAUUCGAAUCCAAAUAAAAAAUUGAAACCCGAAUUCUAAUUCGAAAUAAUUAUUUUUUAACAUAUUUCAAAAUAUAGUAUAUUAAGUUUAAAUUUUAAAAAUAAAAAUUUAAAUAUAUAUCAAAUAUUUAUAUAUAUAUAUAUAUAUAUAUAUUAUAUAAUGUAAAUAUGGCUACAAAAUAAAAAAAUAAUUUAUUUAAAAUAUAAAUAUUAAAAAUAUCACUCUAUAUAAAAAUAAUCAAGUCUAAUCGUAGUCUCGUUGCAAAAAAGUACAGGAAUAAUUUUAAAAAUAUUAUUUUAAUAUAAAAUUGACAUAUUCGAGUUAAUUUGGAAUAUAUCCUAAAUAACAUAGCUAAAAUUUAUUAAUUCUUUUUUAAUGGUAGCAUUCAGAAAGAAAAUUUCUAUGAAUAUUUCUUUAAUAAAAUAAUAAUAUUAUUUUACAAUUGUUACGAAACAUUUAUAUGAAAUAUUUAUUAUAAAUAACAUGUAAUAAAUAAUAUUACUGAGAGAAAUUGUUUUCAUUUUAACCUUUUCUUUUAAUUAAUUUUAUUAGGUAUUAAAGGCGCAUCAGUGAAAGUACCAUCGAAAGCGAAAGUCUACACCCAUCCAUGGAAAAUUAGACCCUUUGGUGCAAUUUCUCUGUGAUAUUUACCGUGCACUCGUGCACGCGUGUGGUGUACGCGUGUGCUUCUCCUUGUUAUGUUAUCGAAUUAAUUAAUUAAUUAAUUAUGGGUGACGAGUCAUCAAUUUAAUUAAUUGCUUUGUUGUUCACUGAUACCUGUAAUAUACAGUGUCGUCGUAACAAAUUAUAUAGCAAUAAUUUAUAGAGAAUAAUAUUUUUAUGUACGAUUUGUAACGUAGGAAUAUAUUUUUUUAGUUCUUUGUGGGUGUGAGUCACGGGAGAAACUGUAAAUUAGUCGAGAGAAAGAACGUAACUUGAAGUCAAAAGGAUUUCCCAAAAAUAUUAUUAUUUUUUUAUUUUUGUGCAAGAUAAAUAGGUUUAAAAUUUAAAUUUAAAUAUUUUUUGAGAGAGAGAGAGAGAGAGAGAGAGAAUUGAGCAUGAUAUCCGGUUCCUUCUUCUUUUUUUUUCUUUUAUUUUUGCGAACUUAGAGCACUAUACAUUCAUUAAAUCUUUUGCCACCUGCGCUAAAAGCUGUCGAUAAUCUAAGUAUUAUUAUGAGUCCAGCUCAAGUACUUUUAGAAGCACCAAAUCUUUGGUGCUAUUAAAUUUUUGGCUUUUAGAUCAUGCAUAACAGAGGCACCCGCCAUUAGAUAAUGUUGUUAAGUUUUAAUUCAAGAAUCAAAAAAUUAUAAGUACUAUAAACUUAGUACUUCUAAAAAUAUUCCAACCCAGUUUUAUUAUUAUUUAUAUAUGAAAUAUCUGUUAGGCGAGCAGUGGCCGUAUUUUGUGCAAUUUUAUAUUACAGCAAAAGACUUUUAAGAUUCAAGAGCUUAUUUCUGUUUUUUUAUUGUGUUUCAAAAGCCUUACAAAAGGCGAGCUUUCAAUAUCCCAGGAUUUAAUUUUGUUAGUGCUUAGUAGUUGCUCCUUAAGCAUGUUCUAACUGACCUUUUUAGUUGCUCAAACUCUUUUUCUUAGGAUGCUUCACAAAAGCUGUUCAAUUUGGAUGCUUCCCCACAAUAAUUAGUCUACAUGACACCAAAAAGAGAAAUAAAAAAAGAAGCAAUACAUGGGUAAUUGGAACCAUGUCCAUUAUCAAUGUUUUGGAAAAUAGAGGCGCUGCAAUAUGCACAUGUGACACAUGAGAUCGUUCAAGCAUCACUGGCACCAACAGGAUUUGUGUGAAGCAUCCCAUGUACAGCAAUUUGCACAAAUAGUUUUUCAUAUAUUGGCUAAAUUUUAGAAAAUUUUUCAGUCAAUAUUCAUUUUUUUAUUUUAUCUUCCUGUUAUUUAAAAACCUACACUUUGCCCCUUAAAAAAUAAAAACUCUUUACUUUCACCCCCGCGUGUUCCGUUAGGGUUCCGUUUAUAUUCUAUUUUUUAUGCCUAAAAUACUGAUGAAACCCUCCUCCUUCCUCAUCCUCGGCCGCGCCGUCUCGCCCUCCACCGCCCCGUCUCGCCCUCCGCCGCCUUGCCCUCGCCUAUCUCUCUGUCCAUGCCAACACACACGCCCUCGCCCGCCUCCGCGGCCUCACUCUCACCCUCGCGCACUUCUCCGUUUAUGCCCACUUCAAAAAAGAUGAUGGACAAUUUGAUCAUUUUGUCACAGCGUAUCUUCCUGUGAACAUUUUUUAUUUUUGAAGAGGAUAAAGUGUAGAAUUUUUAAUGAUAGAAGAAAAAGGUGAAAAAGCGAGUAUUGACAGAAUAAUUUUCUAUAAUUUAGCCUUUCAUAUUUGUCUCCUUUUAGCUCUUGCUUAUCUUGUAAAAUACCUUUUUUUUUAUUUAUCUUUUCUUCUAUUUAUUCUAAUUUUACUUUUGUAGAAACUCAGCUAUACCAAAUAGAUACUCACUCAGUAUUGGUCGAAACUGCACAUCGCUUUAAGAAUCUAAUAUAAUAAGCCUAUACACGAGUCACAAAUUUAAGAGCACGCUUGUUAGAAGUUCUGAUAACUUAAUCGCAAAAUACUGGUGUUUUAGUUGUCAAUAAAGUCCUGUUCUUGAGACUGACAUGCGCUCUAUUGUUUAUGUACUACAUCAAGGAAGAAUCUGUGCACAGAACUGUGGCUUCUUUUUAGAAAAAAAAAAAACUUAAAUAAGAUGCACACCAUUGUCUCUUUUUAGAUUCCAUCUAAAUCUGCAGUUCAAUAAGAUGUUGAGAUUCAGACUAAAAACUGUGGGUUGGAACAAAUUUUCUGUAAGUAAAGCAUCAGUCGUUUACAACCAAACUCUGUACUAAAAACAUCAAAAACUGAGGUUGUCAUUAUGACCAAUUCUCAGCUCAAUCCUAUGCAAUAAAAUUAUCACAAUGAGAUCGUAAAUGGAAUAUACACAGUUGAUAAACAGAUAAACAAUGGUAUUACAAGCUGAUCAGAUGCAAUUCUUUAAAUAAUACAACAGCGAAAGAACCUACAAAAACUAAACCAUACACCUUUAGAACGGCGUAAGAGAUAAGGUUGAAUGAUAUAUGAUUGCGCGCAUAUGCCAUCAUUUAUCCGCAUUGAUAGAGAUUCCAGACAUAGUUCCAAAAAGGAAACAGCAUUGGUGAGCCUGCCAGAAAAAUUAUGCAUUAGAUGCCAAGCGACGAUGAACUAUUUAUAGUACGCAAUGUGACUACUGAAAAUUUUGGUGUUAUUAUAUAACAACUAGGGAAGAUUCAUACGACGGCAUUAAUAAAAAUUACCUGUUUCCACCUUCACCAGUCGGCCACUUCAUCGAAGUUUGUCGAUCUUGCAGUUACAUUUGAUGAGAAUGAAUACCAAUGAAGGAGAGCCACCGUUAAGAGUGUUUUGUCAGCUAAUUCAUCUCUUCGGGAACUUCCAUGCCAAAUCCACGUUUUAGUUUCUCAACUCUGAUUAAACAGGAGAUGGAUAUUUAGAAUAUAGCAAAAUAUAUGUAAGCAAGUUAGUUUAUCGAAACAUGAAUCUAGAAAAAAGAAAACAUUGAAAUACUGCUAGAAAACUGCCGUGAAACUUACGUUGGUGCAAGCUUGCCGAGACUGCGCAACUUCUUGCCAGAUGCCUCAUCAAUAAUUUUUCCCGAAAUCUCAACAACGUAAGAUUGCCCAGUAAUAGGCGGAAGUCCUCUUUUUACGAGCAAUUCCAAAUCUUUUUGAUGAAGUUCUCUCCCAUUUACAAAGACUCCAGUGUCGCCAUCAGCGCAGUUUCUACGCAUGGGAUAAUUGAAUUCUCUUAUAAAGGGCUGCAAGUUUUAAACCAUUUUGUAAGUUCAAGGCUUAAUCAGAAACUGGGAUAAUAUUAUUCAAAGAAGGUGAACUUACAGGAAUAAUGCCAAGACAUUCGCGCCCCAUGACGCCCCAAAAUCCCGCAUGGUAGUCAUACCUAUUUCAGAAACAGGGAAAAUAUGAGCCAUUCUAGAUGAUCACCAAUUGUCAAGGUGUUAGGAUAAAAUAUAUGCAGAAUAAAUGUUGUGCUUCUUAUAUCAAAACUUUAACAACAGCAGAAUAAGCCAAUUGCAAGAGACUACUGUUAAAUUUGCCAAACAGCAAUUUAGAAGUUCCCGACAUACAUAAAUUACAAAAGAAGUAAAAAAUUAAAGGUUUGGCAUAAUAAUAGUAACUACAAAAAUUACUGUAGCCGAUUCUCCUAUUGAGACUUGUCCCACAGUUAUAAACAUGCUCUUCUUCCUUUAGAAUGGUAUGCAGGUACUGUAUCAUAUAGUAAAAAUAGAAUAUUGCUAAAAGAAGUCAAAAUAUUCUUAAAUUUAUAUCUGUUUGUACUGACAAAUAGCAGCAUAUGCCUGGUAGUUCUUAAGGUACUUAUUUAUCAGGACAAAAUAUAUGGAGCAUAAAAAUUUGUUGUCUAUAUGAAAAUGCAAGCGACAGCAAAAUAUAAAGCUCAUCAGUAGACACUGAAUUUAUGUGGAGAAAGGACUCACCAAUAAUCACCAGGAUCGACAGGUCCAGCCUUCUUUUCAGCCUUCUUUAGCGAGCGAUCAGAAAUAGGGUAACCAUUAACUGAAACUUUAGUUCUACUUCUCUCGACAGACUGGUUGAAUAAAGAGAAGUCCUUGAACCGCUUCUUGAAAAUACCAGCAAAAGAUGAAUCACCAUUCUUAGCAAUCGAAGGCUGAUCUUCUCCUCGUCGUAGUUCACGAGAAUCUUGGGAAAACCCAGAAUGCGAAUAUUCACUGCCCGACAAAUUCAUCUCACUUGACACUCGAAAAUCAUCAUUGGAUUGCCGCCUAAAAUCAUCAUUAAUGUCGGCAGCAUCCGUGUGGUCAAAAUUUUCGCUCAUGUUUUCCUCAUCAAAACCAUCAAUUUCCUGAUUAAUGAAUGGAUAACAAGAAUAAUCACGGAGGGAUGAAGCACGCGAAGCCAUUUGGCCAUCAAAUGGCAAUUCAGUGUGACUAUCUGAAUCUCUUUGACAUGUUACAUUCUCUGGGCUCUCCACAUCCCUAGAUCGACUGGAUGAUUUGGAUAGGCCCUCCAUUUUCUCUGAAUAGCUCAUGUUUAUUCCACAUUCUCUAUCUUCUAUUUUAGAACUUGUUGUAGGAGAAACUAAAUGGAUGUUAUCUUGUCGGCUAUUAUAAUCUUUGGAGUAGGAGACAAGACAAUCUCCACCAUCAUGAUCCUCACAUCCUGAAUCUUUGUUACUCUUUGGGCUCUCUACAUCCUUACGCCUACUGUAUGAUUUGGGCAGGCCCUCCAUUUUCAGUGAAUAGCUCAUGUCUACCUCCCGUUCUCUCUCGGUCACUUCAUAUCUUGUUGUAUGAGAAGCUGAAUCGUCUAAAUGUAUAUUAUCUUGUGAAUUAUCAUAAUAUUCAGAGUAGGAAUGGAUAGGGUUUACACCAAUAAGCUCCUCAUAUCCUGAAUCAUUUUUAGCCUUUGGGCUCUCCACAUCCUUACAGCUACUGGAUGAUUUGGAGAUGCCCUCCAUUUUUGCUGAAUAGCUCAACUCGUAUUCUCUUUCUGUCAUUUGGCAGCUUGCUGCAGGAGAAACUGAAUCAGCUAAAUGUAUGUUAUCUCCUCGACUAUCAUAAUCUUCAGAGUAGGAGAUGGCAGGGUUUCCAUCAAAAAUAUCUUCAUAGCACAAAGUUUGGUUAUUCAGGCUAUUUGAGUUUUCGCUAGUUUCAUUCAUUGGCAUGGGUGGUUGGGAAUCGAACAAUUUAAAUGUUUUUCCAUCAUGCUUGAAUAUCAUAGUUUGAGAGCAUGAUCCGCAACGCAGCUUAUUCUUUCCCUUAGGCAUGUCGAGAACUUCCAAAGGUAGCUGCAGCAAUUCAAAACAAUUAUGACAUACAAUGAAAGGAGCAGCGCCACCUAUAGGGCGAAAAGAGCGUUCAGGCCUCUUCCUAAGUAAUGCUGCCCUUCUCUUAGUUUGCAACUCGUGAGAAUGUAAGGGCGAAUUCGUAGACCUUUCAUCAUAAUCUGAACCAGGCAUUGAAGAUCUAUCAACAGGGUAAAGCCCAUACUUUUCUUUGAAAUAACUAGCCCUCUGAUUAGUGACGUAAUUAAGAGGAACUUGCCUUGGUGGUAGCAAAUGUUGGCCGUAGCAAUGCAAACACGAGCACACACUCUGAUGGUAUGAACUAUCAUAAUGAUUAGAAAAGACAGGACUUGGAUCUAAAUGAGUAUAACGAUAGUUGUGUUGUGUUCUUCGGCUAUACGGCACCCUUGGAAAUCUAUCCCCGUAUUUGGGGAAGCCAUUCAGAGAAUGUGAAGGGCAACAACAAUUCGAAACACUCAUAUCACGCUUUUCUGCACAAUGUGAAUGGCACGCCGGAACGCGAUGCAGUGGUGAACGCUCUCCUGGAAACCCAGUUCGACGGCUUUUAUCGUUGAACGAAGACGAGGCCGUUCUUCUACUUACCGGCCUCCUCUCUUUCGGCCUAUCGGCAAUUUCGCAAGAUCGACUAAUGUGGUCUCUCAGCUCAUCGAGCUUCCUUAGAAGUUCAACGCGAUCUUGGCCGGGAGAGUUAACCCUACUUGUUCCAACCCAGUUAUGAUUCUUCAAAAGGUUCCUCACUAUGUUCUCUUUGGUCAAUUCCUCAAAAUCGGAGGCGGAAUCAUCGCCCAUAGCAUCAAAAAUUGCAGUUUUGGGUUCUCCAAUUACAUCCUCAUCCCCAACUACAGAUUCAGAAUGACUAUAAUCACCUUCCCUUGAAUUCACCAUCACCAUUUCCUCCCGUGUAAAUCCACUUUUCCUUUCCAAACAAUUAUCCAACUUACCGAAGUAAUCGACAUUACCUUCACCAGAUCUCUGGGGCAAAGAUCCCGGCGGCGGAAUCGGCUUCUUCGCUGUAUCAUCACAAGCAGUAAAAACCAACAAAACUGUUUACAUCGCGCAUCAAUAGAAGCACAAAACACCAAAGUUCUCAAAAUUUGCUAGGAAAAAUCCUAACUUCGCUCUCAAAAUACAACUUUUAACUAAGCCAGACGCUAGAUUCGUACCUUGGAGUGCCGCAUUGCAACCCCCGCAACGAUAAAGUGCUAAAUUGGGGAUCUCCGGGAGAAGCUUGUCACAAUUAGGGCAACGCACCACUCGAACCCUAGCUUCGCCUCCUCCUCCACCCAAGUGCGCCAUUGCUGAGCUUCUCUACUCAGUAGUUCUCACAAGCGACUGCGAAAUGGUGGAGAGAGAGAGAGAGAGAGAGAGAGGAGAUCGUUUGAAGCAGGGCUUUUUUUUGCAAAUAGCCCCAUGAGCAAUUUUUAUUUUAAAAAUAGUCCUAUCAAAAUUAAAAUUGCAAAAAUGGCCCUGUCUCUGCCACGCAGGCGCCACGUCAGCGCCACGCGGGCAGGGCUGGGCCAGGGUAUUAAGUUGAACACGGUGAAUAAUUCACCGUGUCUAAAUACGGUGAAUGGUUCACCGUGUUUCUUACGUAUUUUUUAUAUAUUGAAAAGUGGAAUAAGGAGUAGAGAUGUCAAUAGGUAUGGAUAUUCGAAAUAUUAUCCGAAUCCAAACCCGAAUAAAUUAUAUAUAUAUACAUAUAUAUAUAUAUAUAUAUAUAUAUAUAUAUAUAUAUAUAUAUAUAUAUAUAAUUUAUUCGGGUUUGAAUUCGAAUAAUAUUUCAGAUAUCCAUACCUAUCGACAUCCCUACUCCUUAUUCCACUUUUCAAUAUACAAAAAAUACAUAGCAAAAAAUACGUACUAAACACGGUGAACCAUUUACCGUGUUUGAACACGGUGACGGGCCCAACCCUGCCCGCGUGGCGCUGACAUGGCGCCUGCAUGACAGGCCCAGGGCCAUUUUUGUAAAUUAAAUUUUGACAGGACUAUUUUUAAAAUAAAAAUUUGUCAAGAGUCUAAAUGCAAAAAAAGCCGUUUGAAGCAUGAUUGGUGUGAAAGAGUAUAAACAAAGGAAGAGGAAGGUGAGUGUUUUUUUCUUAAAAAAAAAAAAAAAAAAUCUUUGAACUAUUCUUGGUUUUGCAGAUGAAGUUGGUGGAGAAAUUCUAGAAAAUGUUGAGAAUUUUUAAUAAAUUUUUAAUGCAUGUUUACCUUUUUCAAGUAAUUUCUUAUUUUUAAAUUUAUAAUUAUAUAUACUUAUUAUAUUCCCAAAUAGCAUACUCUCUAGAGAAAAGAAAGGACAAUAGUAAACUUUUAUAUUUUCAUUGCUUUUACAUGGUUUGAUUAUUUCAUUUUGUGUUAAUGAAUCUUAAUCAAGCGAAAAAGUAUGUUAAUAACUUAUUAAUCACGCAAACCACCAAUACACACGGUACGAACAAAAGGGCUUAUGAAAAAAUAAAGGCAUGAAUUUGGUAAAAUCAUUAAAUACUUAAUUUUGAUAUCGAAACGUGCAUAAAUAUAUAUAUCUCAAGUAACAUACGUAUUCAGAAAAUUACUUUAUUAUAAGAAUAUUGGCAUUAACCGGAUGAAUUGACAUAGUCUCUCUUUUAUAACAUUCCAAGAACUAUUUGUAAAUUUAGUCUCUAAAUUUGAUUGAAAUUUUAAAUUCAUACUUAGAGUGCGGUAUAUAUCAAAAAAAUUAUUUGCCAUGAAGUGUAAUUUAGCUUUCAAAUUUAUCCUGAAUAUCAAUUUCAUUAUCAAAGUUUCAUUUCGCAUCUUAUUCUUCGAAUAAUGAACAGACUUAAUUGUUAUACAAAACCAACUCCGGAGAUAAAACUGUCGAAACCGAAACUACAAGAAUACAAUUUAAAUAAAAGUCAAAGAUUAAGAAAUAAAUUUGCAAUUAACCAAUUGCAAAUGUAGAUCAUGGACUAUUGGAAUGUGUCACAGGCGUAAAUUGCAUAGCUUUGAAACAUUCAUUCAUAUAUAUAUAUAUGAAACAAUUGUCAAAAAAAAAAAAAAAAAAUGCAAGAUCCAGUUUAAGAAGAGAUAUAUUAAUAACCAAGUCAAAGUCUCAAAAACACAGCUGUUUUUGGUGAGCUUUCAAACUCAUUAUAAUAACUCAAUAUGAAUUAUAAAAUCCAAGCAAUAUAUUGUUUUUUUUAAUUAGGUGGCAAAAAUAAAUGCUUGUAGCAUGUGUGGAUCUUGAAGAAGCAUUGCAAAAGAGCAUGUGGAAUUGGUCAUAUUGUGACAACUAAUAACUGGUUGGAGUGGGAGUUUAAUUAGAAGGUAAAUGGUUGAUGAUUAGAUGACUCAGUCACUUACAAUUAAAGUUCAUAUGUUUAAGCAUUGGAUAUUAAUUUGAUUUAUUGAGUAAUUAACAAAAUAUACAAAAAAAAAAUGGCCAUUUAAAUACCAAAUUAAAAAAGAACAUCUAUGUUUAUUUGUAGAGAGGGUUCUAAUUCAAAAUAGUUACAGCUUAUCCAUUUGAUAGAGUGUUUAUAAUGCAUGAAAUAUGUUUACAAAACUUCAAUUAUUUUCUUAUUAUUUAUUGUUAAAACCAACCAUGGGUUCUAAGCAUAAGGUGGUUUAAUAAUUUUCACCAAAACUGCUUUUUUAAAAAAAUCUUAGAUUGAAAUGUGAGACUUUUGAGUUUUACCAUAGCGUACGUCCACCGCCAAACUUUGAUUUUUACUAUAAUUGAUGCAUUAAACUACCGUAAUUUUGAAAUUGUCGAAAUAUGAUUAUUCAAUUGCAUGCGUGGAUCCAAAUUCGAUGUUAUUUCAGUAACAUUUCUAAAUCAAUUAGAAAACUUGACAAAUGACUGAACUGUUAUAUCAUACUGAUGAGAGAAAAUUAAGUAAAAAUAACAUUUUGUUUUUUGCAUGAAGCUCUUCUUAUGUGCAACAAAAAAUCCAAACAGGCUAGCUAAUGGCCAUAGUUACGAGAAAACAAAAAUUAAAAGAUAAAAUGGACCACUUUGUUGUCAUUAAAACGUAUCUUUCUAAGCAAUGCUAUCUGUGUACUCCUAGAUUAGGCAUAUAUCUUACACCCCACUCAUCAGGAGAUAUAUUUUCUACUUAAUUAUUCUAAGGAUUCACAAGCCUCAGGAUAGAAGGGUUGUAAAAUUUACACCUAAGCGUACGUAUACAAAUAAUAUUUUUCUAUGGUUUUAUCUUCGCCUUCGCAACAAAUGUAGCAAAAACAAAAAAGGGAAAAUAAAAGACAAAUGACAAAACAAAGACAAAAAAACAAAAAAGAAAAAUCCAAUGAAACAACUACUAAAUCUUACAAGAUAAUGGUGAUUAAAAAAAAAAAGAAAAUCUUUUUGCAUUUUAAUAAUCAUUAGUUUAUUGAAUAUGAAUUUGGAGACUUGGCCAAACAAGAAGGACAACACAAGAUUACUUGGGUGGUCGGCAUGGUAGUUAGCCACAUGCAUAUGUUCAACUAAGUCACACACAAGUUAGGCCAAGCACAAAGGACUACUCUAGUUAAGCCACUAUAGUUAUAUUAAUUUUCUUUGAUUAAUUAAAAUAAAAUUUGGUUAUCAAGAUUCUUAUAAGUUAAUCUAUGGCGUCAUGGUAAAUAAUGCGAAACAAUUAUUUUCUCUAAAAUUUAAGCUAGCAAAGAAUGAUAUUUUUAUACUAAAAAGUCAGCAUAAUUCAAAUUCAGACUUUUCUGCUUUGAUACCAUAUUAAACAACACGAAACGAUCUACCGUUAUUCUUUAAAAGCUUAAACUAGUAGCGAACGAUAUUUUUAUAUUUUUAAUACGCCAUGUAAAAUAUUGAAACGCCAUUCCCUAACAAUUUAAGCUUUCAGAAACAAAAAUUCUGAGUAAACAAUCCUCGAGUCAAAAGAAAACAAGGAAUUUAUUCACACUUCUUCUCAUUUGAAUACUCUCUAUUUCUUCACACACCAUAAUUUGGUCCAAGGAUUAUAAUUUUGCUUGUUCCACUAAAAAUAUAUAUCUAAAUUUUAUGUUAUUUUUCUCUCGAACCUCAUCUCUGUACAGAAGAAUUAUAAAUUCUAACAACCGAAAGUAGUUGAUUUAUCUGCCAAUCUAUGAGAUUAACUUUCUAAAAUUAAUCACCACAUUUUUAUGAUGUUUCACAGAUUAAAUUUAGGGGAUAGGUGAGGAAUUUAUAGUCAUAAAAUUCAAAAUUUUAGGUGAUCAACGAUGCUUUAGCGAAAAGUUAAUGUUGUUUCAAUGUACCAUUUCUUCAUUUAACCGAAAAACAUUAGUUGUGUGGUUGAACAAACCUAGUAGGGUAUAAUGAACAUCAAAAAGGUUACAAGAAUUGUAGUCACACCAAUUCAAGAAACAUUUACAACAUGCUCACCAAAUAGAGGUCUAGAUCCUAUCCCCCUCUUUUGACCACAAUUUUAUCAUUUAUUUAAUGAAUGCACCUGUCACUGUCCCCACACUUAGCCAAAUCAAACAUCUCCUUAAUUUAUAGAUGAGGAACACAACACAUAUGGUUUGAGCCAUCUCUUUAUUGGAUACAUGGAGAGGCACCAAAAUAACAAAGAAGAAGAAGAAGAAGAGAUUAGGCUCUCAAUAUGGGAUUGUGGGAGCCCUUUAUAUGACUCCUAUGAGCUUGCCUCUCUUUGUAGCCUCAUCGACCGCCACGUCGUAGCAUUGCCGUCGUUCUCGGAGGGCUCUGGUGCAAAGUUUGCCGGCCGGUCGCGAGGAGAGUUUAGCGAGAGCGCGAGGAGAAGGAAGUUGAUGGUUGUUGCGCGGAAGGAGAAGAUAGAGGAGGAGGAGAAGAAGAUGAGUAAGGCGCGAUUGCGCGCUGUUUUCAAAGCCAUUGUUUUCUGGAGAAGAUUAUAAGAGGUUUAGUCUUUGCCACUCUGAACAUCUUACAUGUACUAGGAGCCAAUACAUAUAUAACUUUGUUAAGAAUCUAAAAGGGAGGCGUGUUUAUAUAUCUUUGUUGAAGAAAAAGAAAAAAUAAAAGGGGUGAAAAUGAGAGAUGUAAAGAGGAAUGAUGGAUAUGUGGAUUUUUCUGCCUCUUUUUUUUUUUUUCCCCAGCAAAAAAGAUUAUAUGAUCUAAUGUUGUAAUGGAAGAUAAUAAUAACAGGAGCCAUUCAUUUAUUUGACACUUUGAUAUAUAUAUAUAAACACAUCUCUAUUCCAAUGCAUUCAUAUUCUAAAAAUCUUGAUAUUAAAAUGAUUUAUAAGUUAAGCUAAAUUUCAUUUAUCAUAGUUAAUUCUUUUUUGUUCCAAACACAAUCGCUUUUAUAUUUUUAUCACAUCUAGGAUAUGCGGUCCUUUUGGCGCCGACUUCUAGUAUUAAGGUGUGGUUCAAGAUCAUGAGCAGUAAAAAAGGAUCUUCGAACUCAGAGGUUUUUGCACGGUUCACAGUAAAAGCAAGGCCAAACAAAUAGGAGAAUAGUUUGCUAUUAAGUAACUAGGCCAUUCAACUAAUGGGUCGGAUCCAGCCCUUAGUCCAUAAGAUCCAACUUGUUUUCGGGCCCAAUCAAAACCCUGAAGUCGCAGAACCAGAUGUGUGUAAAAGGAGUCGGUGACGAAACUACCAGUUUCGCCGAUUCCAUGAGGGUCCGAAUGAGGGAACCUAAUAGUAAUUUCUAAAAUCGUUGACGACACACCUGCGAUUGCCGACUUUAACCUACGAAUUUUAUAUUGGGCUGCUAAUGGGCCUAACUGUGUCUUCUCGGAUUGGGCAUGGGCUUUUACAAAAUGGGCCAAGGCGGUUUACGCUCAAUUGCAUGUCCACGUGUGUUGGCUUCUAAAAUAACUUCUCUACUCGCAAAGCAGAAGCCGGAACGUUCAACCGUAAAAUUAUAUUUUAUCAAAAUUUGAAAUGGACUCGCCAUAACCAGAAAUUCAGAAACUCUAGUUUGAAGCUACUUACUUUUAGAAACUCGAAUUUGUAGUAGAAUCAAAAAUAUCAUAUUAAAAAUUUUAUUAUUAUUAUUAUUAUUAUUUGCCAAAUCUAUAUACUAUACAUGAUAGAGGAACCUGAAAAGCGUACGGCCGCGCUCUCCGGUUUGGAAGGAAUUCUACACUAUCACAUUUGCACUACGUCAUUAAUAACAAGCCAAUCACAUUCCUUCUUUUUAAAUAAAAGUACAAUAAAAAUAUUUUUUUACAAUCAUGAUGGGACAUAUACCUCUAAAAGAAGAUAUUUGAUUGAUUUGUUACGCCACGUCACCAAUAUACCCGUUGCAUUCUAGAAUUUUUCCCGGUUUGGGGGCAAAAAGUUGAGGCCCACUUUUUCAUUCCUCUCUCUUCUAAAGGAACCUUUUUUCUUUUUUUUUUUUGGCUACAUAAGAUCUAAAGCUUCAUUAAUAAUUAAUAUAAUAAAGUUAAAAUUUCAUACAAUCUAUAAUAUAUAAAAAAAAUCUAAAUAUANAAAUUUAAUUAAAUUUUUAAAUAAAUUUAUUAGAAUAAUUUAAUUAUAUAAAUAUUAAAAUUGUGGAACUUGGAAAGCAGAACAGUUAUGCACCCAGUAUAUAAGAUAUCCUCACAAAUUCUUUAAUUUAACUUUAACAUAGAUAAAGUUUAGCUUUAACAAGAUCAAGUCAUCUAAUAUAAGUCCUCCAAUUUUAAUUCUUUAGUUAAAAAUUUAUUUAUAAAAUAACUAUCAAAAUUAUUAAAUUUAAUUAAAAUUUUAAAUAAAGUUAUUAGAAUAAUUUAACUAUAUAAAUACUAAAAGUUAAAAAAAUUUAAUUUUUGUAAUGCACAUAAGACUAUUUUAUAGAUUUUUUUUUCCUUUAGCUAUAGUUUUUUAUUUUAAAAUUUUAAUAAAUAUGUACAUAUUAAUUGGUUGAAAUAUUAUCUACUUAUUGCGAAGCGAAUUUUUUUAUAAUUUUAUUUUAGAUCUUCUCGAGUAAAUUCAAAAAUCUCUUUGGUAAAGAAAAAAAAAAAAGAAAAAGACCUUUUAGGUAACAAGGAGUAUUUGACUGCUAUAAUUUGUUCUUUUUUAAUUUAAAAUAUGUGAAUUCUUUUUAUUCUUUGUAGCCGCAUCGAAAGUUCGGCAUCAGAUACCAAAGAAGAAUACAGAUGACGGGAAAAAAAUAGUUUUUAAAAAUCAAAUAUGUUUUUUGUAAGAUGCAUUAACUUUUGUAAUAGAUGGUUGGUAUUAACCUUUUCCUUUUUCAAUAAAUUGUAUUAUUUUAUGUUCUAUCUCUUUUCGUUAGAUGAUAUUUUAUAUAAUUAUAGUUUUAGCUAAUAUUGUAGAAUCUGUGUAAUACACAUAUAUGCUGCAUGAUUAGAACCUCAAAUCAAACAAUAGAUGAUUAUGUUUUUAGACAUUUUACAUUAUCGUUUCAAAUCUUUUCAUAUUAUUUGCCAAAACGUAAUAAAUCAUAUAUGAACUUAUGUACUUAUAAAAUUAUACAUGUAUUAAAAAAGUAAAUAUUUUUAAAAAUAAAAAUAUUAUUUUUUCGUCGUAUCGUGCGGGCUCUAAUUUAUUACUAAAAUAGAAGGAGAAACAAAAGUCCUUAUUAUUAAAGGCCUUUCUUUUGGCCCUCGCUCAUGGCUUAUCCAAACCUUACUCUUACGUAGUUUUUUUGUUGUAGGUUUUGAUCCUUUUGAAUUAAAAAAAAAAAAGUUAAUUUCGUAUAGGUAUCUGUAAAUAUAGUAAAUUAUAUAUAUAUUUUUAUAAAAUUUAAUUUUCACAUAUUGUCUUUAUAAAAAUUCUGAUGUUUUCGAAUAUGUUUAGUCUGUUAGAAAAAAAUUAGUUAACCGUAGAUAAAAUACUUAAUCCUAGUUAAUUAAUGAGGUGAAUUGACCAUUUUACCUCUCUUCAAUUAACAGUUGAAAUGUUUAGAGGGACAUAUUUGUUAUGACAAAAAGGUCAUUUCAUUUAUAAAAUAAACAGUAUUUUAACGGUAACAAAAUAGAAGACCAUACUUGAAAAUAUUAAAAUUUUUAUAAGAAUAACAUAUAAAAGUUAACUUUAUAAGAAUAUAUUUAUAAUUUAUUAUGUUUGCAGGAAUCCGUGUAAUAUUAACCCUAAAAAAUUUCAAAAAAAAAAACUAAAAAAAAAAUCUAUAGAGGUAUCCGCAGCAGCCCCUCACGUGUGCAUAUCCAAAUGACAAAUCCAAACGGUCAAAAGUCAAAACGUACAACAUUGUCCUGAUCUUCUACUCGUAUGAUUCUAUAUCUUAACCGACUUAUUGUAAUAUAUGUAAUAAAAUAUUAUUUAUAAAAAUAAAUAUAAUAUUUUUUAUCAUGAUAAAAUAAAUAUAAUAUUUAUUUUAUUAUACUUUCUCACUAUAAAUGAUAUGAAUUUAUUUGCAAUACCAAAUGGAGCCUAAAAAUCUAUGAUUUAUUUUAUUGUAGUGCACUCAAUCUAUUUGAUUUAUUGCUAGAGAGCCUAUUAUUUAGGCCUAUCAAAAAAAUGUAAGCAAUACUAUCCAUACAUUUUAAAAUUAGUGUAAAUUUUACACCUCACUUAUCUAAUGUGUAAAGCUUUUUCAUCGAUCACCUCAAUAUAUCUGAUGAGAAUACAUCACAAGAUAUACACUUUAAAUGGCAUGUAUAAGCAGCAUUUUUCUUUCUUAAAAAUUAUAUUUGAUGAAUUUUGUAGGCGGAAUAUACGUUCUUUGUACUUCACAAUAAUUUAUUGCAACAUCCAAAUAGAGCCCAAAGUUUUUGCUAUCAUAAGGCACUAAAGUAAAUAAUUACAAAUUUAUAAAUAUCUAUUAAAGAUGAAAAUCUAACUGUUUGAAAGCAAAUGUUGAUUACUGACAUGAAAACCUAACUUUUCUCGUGAUUAAUUAAUAAUUUAAUACCAUAAUUAAAAUUAAAUUUAGACUUUAGUUAAUCUUAAUUGUUCCCACCUGGGAACAAACUUGUUCCAAGAAAAAAGGUGGAACAACAGUUCCAACCUUAUAUCAGCUUAUUUCAGAAACUCAAAAUUUACUGUUCUCGAAUACCAAACGCAGCGUUAAAAAAAAAAAAAAAAAAAAAAAAAAAAAAAAGACUCUGUCCCCUCCCAGCCUCUUUGUUUCCAAACCAAACACUGCCUAUUUGUUUGGGAGAAGUCCUUUCUUGGUUGGUAGGGGUAAAGGACUUUUCUCCUAAUGAAAGGGCAAAAGCAAGAGAACUAGAUCUAACCACCACUUUGCUAGUGUGUCUCUGGCCCAUCUCUUUUCCCUUUUUUUGAAUACAUGUGGUGGGGACUAAAGCUUAAAGCUCAACCUGUUUGUGACCUAAUAUUUGAAAACUAUAUGUCAGCAAAUUUCAUCCAUUUAUUUACACAUUUGAGUGGGCUUUCGAAUAAGAAUCAGAUCACUUGUAUAAAUCAAUCAGAUUCCCUUGGUCACAUUCGAACCUCUUUAUAUAUUCUUUAGGGUUAAUUUCACCUACCUAUAAACAUAUUGAACGGUAAAUAUAUCCCUACAAAGUUCAACUUUCAUAUAUUGUUCCUAUAAAAGUCCUUAUGUUUUCAAAUAUGUCUUUCUGAUUUGUUACCGUUAAAGAAUCGUUAGAGAACUUUUUAUAUUUUUAAUUUUACCAUCACAAAUAUCUUUCUUCCAAAAUCAUAACAAUAUAACAUAAAUGUGUAAAAAUGUCAAAAACUAACUAGGGUUAAGUAUUUAAUCUAUGACUAACUAAAUUUUUCGAACGGAUUCUAAUAGCAAAAAUAUAUUUGAAAAUAUCAGGAGUUUUAUAAAGACAACAUAUGAAAAUUGAACUUUAUAGAGAUAUAUUUGUUAUUUACUAUAUUUGCAGAGACUUGUAUAAAAUUAAUCUUAUUUUUUAAUAAAACUAAUCUUAUUUUUUAAUAAUA
Molecule: long non-coding RNA, 62746 nt
Filed under: Ananas comosus (pineapple)
Lineage: Eukaryota; Viridiplantae; Streptophyta; Magnoliopsida; Poales; Bromeliaceae
Description: long non-coding RNA (ACOM_LNC024825)
Source: RNAcentral